RNAcentral lists this long non-coding RNA (73760 nucleotides) under Malus domestica (apple). Its description in RNAcentral is "long non-coding RNA (MDOM_LNC017321)". Lineage: Eukaryota; Viridiplantae; Streptophyta; Magnoliopsida; Rosales; Rosaceae. The record is from RNAcentral.
UAUCGUCUAACUCUAGAUGGAUUUUUUUCAGAUACUUUAUGAGAUUGGAGAACUUUUAGCAAGCACUUUGAACCUUUCCUUUUCAAGAGACAAGAUCACGUGGAAUCCAACAAGAAAAUCAAAAGACGAUCGGGAGCCAUGGCGUGCAUUAUAUGGUUAAACCUCUACUGUCUGUGACAUUAGAGGUUGAGACAAGAUCUAUCGUCGGGUGCAUCAGGUUGAAAAAACUUUCAGUUCAUAUUGUGAUUGAUAGAUCUAUGUUCAACAUCAUAGUGCUUAAACUUUCAUUUAUGGAUUAUAUAUUAAGGAUGAUGGGAUAAUCUGAAUGAUUAGUUCAUGUGUUCAUCCUGUUGGGUGCCUUGUGUGGUUCUUAUUCGAACCUGUAAUGUAGUAACUACAAUCAAAUCAUUCAUCAUACAAUAAAAACGAAUCAGGCAAUACACUAAAACAAGAUAUCAUUUAGUAAUACAGUUUAGUGGUGUUCCUCUUCAUUUGUAAAUGAGAUGUUCUACAUAUACCACCAAUUUAUUCCUUAAUAUAUAAUUCAUCGAAUCAGUUACACCUCUAAUUUUGGAAUCUCACAUAAACAGAUACAAUAAGAAAUAUAAAAUAAUGAAAAACCUUUACAACCAACGUUUCACAUUCCUAUUAAAUAUUCCUUUUCCGUAAGUAGAAACGAUAAUUCUAACUAGGAGGGGGAAUUGCAUCCAAGCAAAUAAAGUGACAGGAACACUUGAAAGAAGGAUGGCCGGAAUCACAAUCCAAGAAUGUCCACGAACUAUAAUUAGAAGGGCAGCGGAAAAUGCAAUCAUCAUGGUUGCAAUAGCCAAAAAGAGAGUGGCAAGACCAAUUAUUAUUUUUGUGGGUAAGGAUUUCAAGAAAUCAUCUUCUGCGAAACGUGACGUGAGAAUUCCGAGAAACGUCAAUGUUGCAGUCGUGGAAGAAAAGAGUGAUAUAGCAUCUGAAAUUAUAAAUAACAUAAACAAUUUUUCAUGGUUGAAUGUGGGAAAACCGGUAUCUCCAUUUCCUCCAGGAAUUGUGAUUACUGCGGCAAACAUGAUGGUGAUAAUAAGAGCACCUACAACAGUGUAAGAAGUUGCCGUCUCUUUCAUCCAUUUUUCUCCUUCCUUUAGCAAUUCACUGUGAUUCUUUGUAAAUAGUUCCCUUGGUUUCAAAUUUUCACCGCUGUUCAUAAACUCAAGACACUUAGGAGGUACAAUAGUCUCUACUUCCUGCAUUGCAUUGAACAACUACUGACAUAUGAGAGUAUAAAAUAUAAUUUUCUAUAAUCUUUGUUAUAUUAUGGUUAACUACAUUUUACACUCCAAGAUCUGAACAUGGUAUUCAAAAUUGGUCACGAUGUUUCAAUUUAAAAUUUACGCAUUAUAGGCUUUAAGAUUGUGUUAAUUUUACAACUUAUUUUAGAUUGUGUAAGUAUUGUAAGAUGGGCAAAGUAAUUAAGAACUAUGCUGGGUGAGAAAAUCUAACCUUGUACCAUUGUAGUUCACGCUGCAUCUGCAAUGCUGCACCUGGAAUUUGAUUAAGCUGUGCAGAUGGGGACAACAACCCAGCGAUAUGCAGCAUGUUAUUACUAUCCCCAUCGGCUGAAUUUGCGAUAGAGUCUUUAGUAGAGAUCCCGUAUAUAAGGUUAUAAAUCUUUUCUUGACGACAUUCGAUGGCAACGUGAAAUAUGCCCCUUGCCCUGUCAUUUACUAACAUCAGAAGUUCAGGAUUUGCUUUACACAUAUGAGUAACAAACUCCACGUUCCCCUUCCUAACAGCUAGGAAGAUUGCCGACCUCACAGAGGGAUAACUCAUUUGUUGCAUAUCGAAAUCUUUAUUUAUCUCUUCGCAGAUGAGCUUUAAAAAUGCAAGUAAGUUGACAUGGACAAUCUUCAUUUCAUAUAUGCGUUUGAUUCCUGAGUUGACAUUUUAAACCCAAAUGUUUAUGACAUAAACUGAUUUGGAUAAUUGAUUUGAAUUCAAAUCUACAACAAAUGAAAUUGUGACUAGCAUACCAAGUAUCUGAACGAUUUUCGAAACAAGCCCUUCCUUUUGUUUUUCUGAAUGGGAAACAAGCCGUUCCACUAAACCUCCCACUGCAAUGGAAAAAAUGUUGGUGAAACUUAUGGAGCAUGUUGUUAGAUGUACGACCGAUCUAAUGGAACUUGCAUAAUGGAAAAGGAGAUUAUAUUCACACAUUCUAAAUUACUUUUUCUACAUUCUUUCAAUUUUUUAAUAUUUUUCUAUCAGUUGUUAGUGGUGUGUAGAAAAUAUUAAAAAAUUAAAAAAAUGUAAAAGAAGUAAUUUGAAGUAUGUGAAUAUAAUAAUGAAACUGUAUUAAUUAAAUAUUAUAAAACGUGUGACAAAAAUGGCUUUAUUGUGUUUACACUUUACAGAAGCUAGCAAUAACAUGUAUGUUUCUCAUGGUUGAUACACACUAUUACAAACUUCUCUUCUAUCUCCAAACUUCCCUGGGCAAUUUUUCAAGAAAUGAUGAAGCCCAAUUUUUUUUUCACGAACCAGGAGUCUCUACAACUCCAACCUCAUGAUAAAGUACGGAGUUUUGUGCUCUUUAAUUUAGUAUAUUUAAAUAAAAGUUAGUUUUUUUGACCUAGCUUUUUUUUUAAUUUUAUUUUUUUGAACAAAAAAUAUUAACUACACUAAGAAAGUAGGGGAGUGCGUUAAGCCUCAUAAUAAGUUAGCAAUAAUGUGGUUCAAAGUCGCAUUUAAGGAUAAUUAAACUCAUACCUAUAACUUACAAGUCAAGACAAAUACCACUAAACUAUAAUAUUAAAUAGCGACCUAACAUUUAGUAUAUUUAAAUAAUAUGUAAUUUUUGUGCCCUAAUAUUUAGUAUUAUUUAAAUAAAAUUACUUUUUGAAUUAUCUGCACUGUGCACUUUUUACAUUUCAUAUGGCAUGUAUAAAAAUAUAGAUAAAUUGCUGUUUGACCCCUGGAUUUUUUUUGGUAAAUUAACCCCAAAACUAUUUUAAAUCAGCCAAUUAACCUCUCACCUUUAGAUUUGAAAAAAUUCAUCUACUUUGUUGUUAGAUUUGAAGGUAAAUUUGUCUUCUUAACAGUUAGAUUUUAGGGUAGAAGAGAUAAAGGGGAUGACAAAUAAAAAGACAAUUUUACCCUCAAAUUUAAUGGCAGAGUAGAUGAUUUUUUUUUAAUUUUUAAAAUCUAAUGGUAAGAGGUUAAUUGACGGAAAUGAAUCAUCUUCAGAUCCAUUCCUCCUAAUCCAUCAAGUCUGGAGAUCCGGACCAUUGAAAUUUGAUCUAACAGCUACAAACAGGGCCCACUUUAAAAGUUAUAAUAAUUUUGGACGUUGGAUCAAUAACUUUUAAAGUAGGUCCUUGUUUGUAGUCGUUAAAUCAAAUUUCAAUGGUCUGGAUCCCCGGACUUAGUGGAUUAGAAGGAAGGGAUCCGGAGAUGAUCCCUUUCCUUAAUUGACUUAUUUAAAAUAGCUAGGGGUUAAUUUACCAUAAAAAUAAUUCAUGGGAUCAAUUUUAAAUGGUAUAAUAGUUCAGGGGUCAAACGGUAGUUUGCUCAUAAAGAUAUCAUGCCGUUUGUGUAAACUACAAUUUAAAAAAAUAUGAAAAAUAAAAAAGAAAACUCUAAAAAUUUUGCACUUUUCAUAAGUGUAUUUUUUAGUAAUUAUAAAAAGUUUUGAAUGCCAAAUAAGUUUUUUAAGAAUGGUAAUAACAAUUCUCAAUAAAAAAAAAAAGGUUAUUUAUCCUCUCUGUCCUCCCCCCUUCGUCGCUCCUCCCUGCCGUAUCCUCGCUCCCUCUUCUCUUUCACGCAACGGAGCUGUCGUCCAGCGGUCACCAACGACCGUCAAAUGAUAUCUCCAGAAUCUCUUUCCGUCCUCUUUCCAAACCACAGGUUAGUUUCUACAAAUUCGUAGCCGAAUUUCCUUAAUUUUGAUCAGCUUUUGUUUUGUGUGUUUUGCAGGUAUGGGAGCGGCAUACAGGACGAUGAAGACCGGAGUUGGAGUGGCGACGAUGGGUGUGAUGAGGCCAGAGCUGGUGAUGAAGUCGAUCGUGCCGGUGGUUGUAGCGCGAGUUUUGGGUAUUUCCGCAUUUUCAAUCUCGAUUUUACACUACUUCAAUUUGAUUUAGGAUUUUUUUUUGUUGUUUUGCUAUUUUAAUCUGUCACUGGUUGUAUAGAUUGCAACACAUCAAUUGGAUUGUUGAAGAGUCAAGUUUUCUUGGUGUAAUUAUUGUUCUAACUAGAUGCUAAGAGUGUGAACAUUGAUUUGAUGCUUGUAUAUAUAUAUAUAUACAUACAUACAUAUAUAUACAUAUAUAUAUAUGUUUAUAUGCAGGUGGAGCGAAGGUGAAAGCUGACGAAGAUGUUCCACAGAGAGGUAAGUUCUUUAUCUAUUUUCAAUAUAUUGUUCUUAAUUAGCUCAUCGCGUUUUCUUUCGACUUUGUCCUGUAAAAGCUUUAUUUUUCAAGUUGUGGGACUCUUAAAAGUUAUAGGCAAGAAGGGAAUGUGGUCCAACGCCUGCGAGUAAUGCAUUGAGUUUUCUUGGUAGUAAUGCACUUUUUAUUUUUUUUUUGGUUUUGUUUUGGCCCUUAACAUCACUGGAAUAUGUGGUAGUUGAUAUCAUAUCUCUUCGAAGGGAUUUGGCCUUACUUUUGCUGAGGGUGUCGAUAUCAUAUCUUUUCAACUGUUUCUUAAUUUAAGUUUUUAUUUUUUUAAUGGGUUAAACAGCUAAUGAUGAGGAUUGAAUUUUUAAGUAGACUACUUAUUCAUAGGAAGCAGGGUCUUAGAGAAAAUUGUAGUAAAUUCAAAUUCAUUAUUGUUAUUUUCCUUUUUUCACAGGUUCCUGAAGCUUAUGAUCGGCCUCUCUUCUCAGGUAUUGAUAUAACUUCAUUUUAAUGCAGUAUGAUUAUCUUAGAGAUUGUUUUGGCCAGACAAUUUCUCUGUGCACACUAAUAAACUAUAUCAAUUUCUCUGUGCACAAAUAAACUUUACUAAGCUUAGAGAUUGUUUGGGCUGAACAAUUUUUCUUUAAUUUAUAAUGUUGAUUUCUUGUUUGAGUUUCACAUGUGAUUGAUCUAUCAAGAACAGAAACCGAGGUGCGCCUAUUGGUCACGAUUUGAAAGUUGUGCAUAUGGUUCUGUCAUCUAGCAUGGUUGUCAAAAUUAAGGUGCAAAUAGGUUGCCUAUUUGUGCUUAACUCUUUGAGCGCAAAUAGCCAUAUCGUGCCCUCUCAUCAAAUGGCACACCCAUAGAGGGCAUGUAUAAUAGUUUAGUUGCUGCACUGUUACUAUUGAUAUAUGGCACAUACAUUGGUGCCCUUUGACCUCAUAGGGCACAAAUAAUUUUUUGUGCACAGUGGCUAUAUUUUUUGUGGUGAAAUGAGAUAUCUAUGCGUAUUUCAAUUGUUUGUGAACUGAGAGCUAGAGGGUCAAUAACAUAGUGUCACAAGGUUAGGUAAUAGUAAGUCUGCACCGUGUAGCAUUGGAAUACAUGACACCAUACAUGUAAAUCCAUAUUGUGCGAUGACUAUAUGCAUGAAUAAUUAUGCAUCAUGUAGCAAUGAAGUGCAUGUGAUGUUGACUUAGUAUAUUCGUAUUAAGAGAUCACUACAUAUGGGAUCAUAACCUAGUAAAGUCGCAUGUGCGAUCAAUAUUUUCGAAAGAUGAUUGUGGCGUGGUGAAUCCAAAUCAUGCAAUCAUCUUCUCCAGUCAGUAUGUGCUAUAAAGUCCAAAAGGGUAAUCAUGACAUGAUAAAUUCGCCAGCAGCCCAAGUGCUGCCAGGUCGAGGAAGGAAGAAGUAAGGAAUUUUUCAUACUUGGGUUUUAUUGUGUGAAUUCUCUAAGCAAACCCUGAAUUUUAGAAGUAAGGAAUUUUUCAUACUUGGGUUUUAUUGUGUGAAUUCUCUAAGCAAACCCUGAAUUUUAGAAGUAAGGAAUUUUUGAGAAUUCAAGGAAUGCUUAUCUCCUAAAUUAUAAAUAUUCUUGGAGUCCUAUUUUAGGUAGGAUUAGGCUUUGUCUAUUAUGGACUACAAUUGCCCUCCCGGUUGCCUACUAGAGUUCAUGUCUAUAAAUAGUCAAGUCAAACAGGGAAAACGGUAAUUAAGUGGCAAAUUUGUCAUCUAUGUGAGUUGUAAUUGAGACCUCGUACGUACGAAUAAAGAGAAAUAUCAUAUAUUCCCUUGGUUAAAGUUAAGCAGGAAUUUGAAGUGGAUAACCCAAAUUAGAUCGUACCAUUUAUACAACAUUUUUAGCUUGUUAAUGAUGGGAGAGGAAGGGGAUAACAAACCUGAGCGAAAUAAACUCCCUCCGUUAUUAGCUUGGGGAUUUUCUUCAUUUUGAACAGUUACACAGAUAUGAUUGAUGCGAGGAGGAGGUUGUAUAUAUAGACCUAUCAAGACAAGAAAAUAUGUCAUAUAAAAGUGAAAGCAAAUAAUUAAGAGAAAGAGAAGGGAGUAUGUGGUACACUAACAGUCAUAAACCCAUUGUUGCCAGAAAUUGAGCUCCGCACCGCUCAGGAAUGAAGGGUUCGAUGCCAAAGCUUCUAAAGGGGUGAGCAAUAGGCGGUUCAUAGUAACGGCCAAUUUUGGGCAACGUUGAAUUAAAUCCCAUGAGACAUCUGUUUAUUUUUAAUGUUACGAAAUUUCCAGAAAUAAUUAGUUUGCUAUAGUAAUUUGUAACUAUGGGAAAAAAGAGUAAACUGUAGCUAGAAUAAGCUAUUUAUUUUUCAAGUUGUGAAUUGAUAACCAUUUUAUUUUCAGUUUUUGUAAUCACCUUUUUACUUUGAAAACCAAAAACUUGUUAGAUAACUAUAUUUAGUUUUCAAGUUUCAAAAAAAUAAAAAUUGAAGGCUACUGUUUUUUUUAUAGUUUUUCUAACUUUUAAUUUCAGUUUUCAUUUUUUUUCAUUUUUUUUUUUUGAAAUUUGAAAGUAAUUUACCAAACAACUGAAAUGAUUAUCAAACGAAUUCUUAAUUUUCAUUUUUGUAGUCCUCAACAGCAUGUUAUCACUCAUAUUUAAAUUUUUUUACCAAAUUCUUUAGCUGAAAAACAAACGGAGAUUAUUGAAGCGCCAUGAGGUCCUUUGGCUGGCAUUAAAUCUUCAAGUGGAGUGACGGAGUAGAGAUAUCGAGCCAUAUGCCAUUCACCGUCCAAAUAAGCUUGCACAAUUGGAAGAUCGUUGAAAGCAUUGGGAAUGCUGAGUAAUUUUUGGUUCUUUGUUACCAUGCAUUGAGCCAUUUCGAUAAUCCCUUUAGUUGCAGCAAUAGCAAGAGCUGUCCGACCUACUGAUUUUAUUUCCAAGUCGUCCUCAUCCAUCAACGACACCAAUUCUUUGACAAUAUCCACAUGCCCAGCUUCAACUGCAAUGUGAAGAGCUGUCUUCCCAUAAAAUGGAUGUCUUACUCUUACUGCCUCUGGAUGUUGGAUGUAAAAGUCCUUUGCAGUUUCCCAGCGACCAGCUUGCACAGCCUCAAAGAAAGGUUUGUACUGACUAUAUUCAUGUCCUGUCAAAAUUUAUCAUGUUUUGUUAUUAUUAAUUACCCCAUACUUGUUUAGUUUUAUGCUGAACAUUUCUGUAGUUAAAAACUUCAAUCAUAGAAACGAUGGAAGAUAAUGUUAUGGGUUCCUUGUUAUUUAACUUUUUAAUCAAGUUAUAUGAAAUUAUAUGACAACUAGAAAAAUUAUAUGGGAUCAUUGUGAUUAACAAUCCAAACUGUUAGGAAAAUAGAGCACUGAAAUUUAAUCACAAAGAAAACCAAGAAAUCAUUCAUGCCAUUAAUUAUAUACACAGUUUAAAUAUGUUCAAACAAGGAUUUUUAGCCAAAAUGAGCCUUGAGAUUUGCAAACUUUGAUCCCUGAGAUUUGAAAUCAAAGGAAGUGAGUCCCUGAAAUUGUCCAUCAUCAUUUUAUCCUUAUUUUAUGGAGAUUUUUCACAGAAUGACCAAACUAAUUGUUUGUGGAUAAAUUUAGGGACCAAUUCUAUCGAUUUCAAAUCUCAGGGACCAAAAUGAGGAGUUAUGCAAAUCUCCAUGACCAUUUUGGCUAAAAAGCCUUCAAACAAUAAAAAAUAAUGCUAAAUGCACAUGAAUAUGGUUACAAAUAUAUGAAAUUUAUGGUAAAAUUAGACAUUAUAUGUCCUUGAGAUGAUUUGCAUUUUACAACAAUGCUCAUCAUUUUAAAUUUUCAUAUUUUGGAACAAAUUUUCAUCAUUUUCAUUGAAGGCAACCGAUAUCGAUACAUCCAUCGAUAUUUCUAUAAAUUUUUAUAUUGAUCUUCCACUGAUAUCAAUAUUUUUAAACACUAGAUGAUACACAAACAUGGUCUAAAAAUAUAGUAGGGUACUGCUAGGGAGACCAAAUUUGUACACUAAAUGAUUUGGAUGUUGAAGGUUAGAUUAUUAUUAAGUAUUGAUUAAUGUACUUAUUUUCUAUUUAUGACACAUAAUUUAGUUUGCAAAUUUAAUUAAAAAAUUAAUUUCUCUAACAUAUCCAAUAUAGUAUUAUAGCAUUUUCUAAAGAAAAAAGUAUAGACGAUUAUUUAAUUAGAUAAUGAAAUAGGAAAUGAUUAUUAUUUUUUGUCUUUUGGCAAGGAGAGACGCACCUUGUGGCCCUGUGCUUGUAUUGGGCACUGAUGACCCUGUGCUUGUAUUGGGCACUGAUGGAUGUAAUGAUGGCUCCGACACACCUUGUGGCCCUGUGCUUGUAUUGGGCACUGAUGGCCCUGUGCUUGUAUUAGGCACUGAUGGAUGUAAUGAUGGCUCCGACACACCUUGUGGCCCUGUGCUUGUAUUGGGCACUGACGACCCUGUGCUUGUAUUGGGCACUAAUGGAUGUAAUGAUGGCUCCGACACACCUUGUGGCCCUGUGCUUGUAUUGGGCACUGAUGGCCCUGUGCUUGUAUUAGGCACUGAUGGAUGUAAUGAUGGCUCCGACACACCUUGUGGCCCUGUGCUUGUAUCGGGCACUACUGAUGGAUGUAAUGAUGGCUCCAACACACUUUGUGGCCCUGUGCUUGUAUUGGGCACCGAUGGAUGUAAUGAUGGCUCCCUAACACGUUGUGGCAUGUUCUGCCAAACACCUUGUGCCAUGUUCAACCUAUGAUUCAUUGGAGUAUCAUAUCAUAUAUCAUACGUAUUAUCUAAACAAACAAAAAAUUAGCAAUGAAAUUAAAGUAGUCUAAAUACUACUUACGAAUUGAAAGGAAUGGAAGCCAACAAACUGCAGCUAGUUAGUUAUUAAACUCUUGUAAGUAAGCAAAUAAGCAAUGAUAUGAAAUAAAGGCUUGCAUUCGCAAACUAAUAAGAAGAAAAUGGGGGAGGGUGGGAAGGGAAGCUACUUAAAAGUGAAGAGGUGUAUGGGCUGCUUUUCCUCGAAUAUUACGGAUCAACAGGACACGCAACCUCUACUUAAUAUUGGUAUCAUAUUCCUACGUACAUGCAAAGUUGGGCAAAGCCUUGUUAUUGACUGAAGAGGAUUUAAUAAGCAAACCCACACAAAGGUCGAAGGAGUAAUCAAAUGUAACCAAUACAAAAGAAUAAAAACAAAAGGGGGCAGUAGCAUGCUUUAGAAAGUCAGGAAAGAACGAACAGGGAGGUGAUUUGAGCCUAGAGACCUUACGAUUAUUCCUUUAGUAAUUUUGGGGUUACUGGGAAUCUAUUUGUUUGUUUGUUUAAAAUUUUGGGCUAGCCGUUGCAUUUGAUUUUUUUUUUUUUACAGUUUUAUUAUUAUUUUUUAUUUACAAAAUUUUUCAUAUAACUUCUAUUUUUUUUCCUAUAACUUAUAUUGUACAAAAUUUGGUUUAUAUUUUUUUUAAAUUCCAUUUUUUUCCUAUAACUUCUAUUUCACAAAAUUUGUUUCAUAUUUUUUUUAAAUUCCAUUUUUUUCCUAUAACUUCUAUUUCACAAAAUUUAAGUUGUAGUUUUUAAAUAAUAAAUUAUGUUUGGCCCUAUGGCCCUCGGUUGUAGAUGGUUUUUUGUGACAGGGCUAAAACGAGCCCUCUGGCCCUCGGUUGGAGACGGAGGCAAAUAUGGCCGUGUACUGUUCAUUAAAAUAUUAAUAUCUUGGAGAAUCUUGGAGGGUCAGAGGGCUAAAACGAGUCAUCUGGCCAGCCAUCGAUUGGAGAUGGCCUAAUCUUCAUCCCUAGAAUCAUGUUCUUCAAGCUCCCAAACCUACUGUCACACAUGUUAAUGAUAAAAACUUGUUUUUUUUUUUUUCAUGAAUUGAACAUGAAAUUGAAGUUUGGAGGCACCACAUGAGGAAUGGCAUAUUAUAUAGCUAGUAAACCAUAAGACAAUUUUCAGUAGGUUUUGAUUUAUUUAAAGAAAUAUAUUUAAAGUUUGAUCUACACCCAGCAUUGUAUUGGCUAGAACAUACUUGUCCAACGGAUGGUCCGACCAAAAUAAAACCCCGUCCAGCCUGUAGGUUUGGGUUGGCUAGGCUAAAAAUUUUCAGUCCAACAACCUUUAAUGUGGACAUCAAAUGUUGCUUAAUUAUGUGGUGUAUGAUGCAUGGAGCCCUGGUAGUGCAAAUCAUCCUCACCCUACAUUGUUAAUGUAAAUGCUUUUUUUUUCUUCACAUUUCUUGGUUACAAACUUACAGUAAUGGGGUGGUCGAUCGUGGACUCGGAUUUCUUGGUUGAGCUACAGUCGGCUGAUUUGGCACGGGAUAUGGUUGACCUGAUCUUGUCCUUAUUUCUCUAUAAGGAUAUACAUUAUCUGACUGUUUUCUACUGAAAUUCAGAUUAAAUAAAUAAAAUCGUUUACAGAAAAUAACAAAACCAUGCACAGGGAAUGUUGAAUAAAAUUUUAUAAUCUAUCAUAUUGUCUUUUGCUGGAGGCUGUUUGGUUUAUGUGUUUGGAAGGAGGCAAAUCCAUUUUUUAAUUUUGAACUUCUGAAGUUCCGAGAGCAUCUCUAAUAGAGUCUUUAAAUAGGGACAAGCACUGAUAAAAUGAGUAUAAAACAAAUAUAGACAUAAAAUGAAUCUUCAUAGGAUGUAUUCAAUUGAGAAUUUGAAAUACUUUAAUGGAUUUAUAAAGAGUAAUGCUAUUCAUACCAUGUUUUGUACCACAUUUUCAUAUCAUCUUAUAUGAUGUGGACAGCCACAUUAUUUGAAUUAAUCAGAUUUUUAAAUAUAGUUCAUUAUUUAAUAACCUAAUAAUUAAGAAAAACUAGUUAAUUAAAUUAUGAUUGUGGUAUGAGGAGUCUUUCUUCUUCCUUUCCUUGUGUUUUGCAAAUUUUUCAAAUGAUGUGGUUGUCCACAUCAGAUGUCACCUAAGGUGGUAUAGAAAUGUGGUAUAAAAACAUGAUAUGAAUAUCAUUACUCAUUUAUAAAUCCAUGGAUUUUUAUGAGUUUAAUUGAUUUGUAGAUAUUACAUAUAAAAUUUUGAUUCAAUUCCCUCAAAAUCUCAUGGGGAGAGAUGAGAUUUGUAUAUGCUUAAAAUACACUACGAAAUCUCUCCAAUUCUCUCUAAUUCCUCAACUUUCUCAAAUUCUUUAAAACCAAUUUCUAAUUGAAUACACCUUGAAUGUUAUAAAUUUCUUUAAAAUCCUAAUUGAAUACAUCUGGAUUUCUAAGAAUUUUAUAAAUUAUCUUAAAAUUAUAAUUGAAUACACCUUGAAUUUCAGAGAAUAACUUAAAAUUCUGAUUGAAUACCCAUAGAUUCAUCAAAACAAUUAAAAUCCCUCAAAAUCUGAAUUGAAUACACCCCCUUCAAUGGGUCGGAAAAUUAAUCCCUAAAGUACAGGACUCACCAAAUACUUAAUGUAUAUAGCCCCAUAUAAGAACUCAAAUGGCGGAUGGAAAAGUUGGUAAUGCAAGAAUAUCUACGUUUAGAUGCCGGUAAAUUGGCUGGGAGGUAAAUAUAUCCAUUGCAAACUGCGAAGCAACAACUUGCACUUUGUAAAACAAUAUUUAUAUGUUACUGAUGUCUAUAUGAAUUGUGGGUGUCAUAACAAUUUGGAAUUUAGCCAAUGGUAGUAUGUCAUUUUUCCCUCAACAUGUCAAUCCCCGGUCACCCUUGAAAGAAUUUUUCAUUGUGACCGGAACAUAAAGGGUACAUCACAUGUUUUUAUAUAAAUGGUGAAAAUUUUUAUUUUUUAGUUAUUAACUUUUUAACACACAUAUUCUACUAUUUGUAUAAUAACAAGUGAUGUACCAUUCUAUAUAUCGAUCACAUUGAAAAAUUUCUCCACCCUUACCAUCUAAUAGAUCCGCCCCUUUUCCCCCACUCAUUGGUUUGGUGAUAAAAUAUUCUCUCCAUAUUUUUUCUUUUCCUUUGUUAUCCAUAUGCCAAAAUGGAUAUUUGUAAACAAAUAGUAAUAAAAAAAUUUCUCACUAUCAGUACUGGAAACGAAGUAAUAUAUACAAACAAAGUAACAUAUGAGAAUAAGGUGAGGCUAAGGAAGUAAAAUACCCAACACUUGGUCUCGAUGAGAAUUCGGCAUGACAAUUGAGGGAGGGGAAGUGAGGGAGGGAAAUGGAUCUGAUAUCCAAUUUCUGAUCGGAGACCGAGCACAUGGUGGGAUGGAGAUAAAGUAUCACAAUUGAGGAGGGAGCGAGGGAAAUUAAAAGAACGUAAAAGCAGGGAAAAACGCCGAAUAAAGGGUAUAAAGCAUAUGAUAGUUGAGACUCGGUCCAAAGAAAACUGAAAUUAAUCUCAAGAAAGAGUGAGAUUAUCUAAAUUUGACCUUUUGGGUGGCGGCAACAGAGAUCAUGAGACUGAUUUGCCCUGGUAAUCAAUUAAUCGAACUACAAAAGAUAAUGGAAGCACUGUGCGUCUAAUGGGAGAUGGCAUGUGAUUUUUUAUUUUUAUUUUUGGAAGGAAAGGAUAGUGGAUUUCAUUCAUAAAACUGUGAAACGGAGUAACAAGAGGAACUAUACAAUAGGGGAAGUAUCCGCAACUAGUAUAUCAGUGAUUAUACUAGGGGGAGAUCCUAUCCAUUCAUCACAUUGUUCCAUAGAAAGACCAAGACGAGCUAAUAUAUGGGCCGCUGAAUUGGCUUGACAGCGAACGUGGGUGAUGGGAGCUUCAAUGACUGCCGGAGCCAGCGAUUUGAUGUCCUCAAUUAACUAGCCAAGAUGCGACAAGUUAACCGAGGGAUCUCUCAAAGCUUCGACAAUAUGAAGCGAAUCAUAUUCACAUAGGAUAUUAGAAAAACCCUUUUCGAGCGCCCAGAUCAAGCCAACUCUAACGGCCAUAGCUUCCGAUUGAAGGGGUGAGAAGAGGUCAGCGAAACCACCGCACUUAGCAGCCACGAAACAGCCUGAUGUAUCUGUAAAACUAUAACACACUUGAGGUUUCACUUCAGUUGCAUACCCAAUCAACAAUGGGUUGCAUGUAUUUAUAACAACUUCAGGAUUACAAUGGAAGUUUGAAAACCCUAAAUACAAGCAAUUUUCAAAAAUACAAACAGAAGCGUAAAGAUUACAAACCGAACUUUGCGUACAACAAAUAUUUGAAAUACAAAUCCCUAGAAACUAGGAGUAUCAGAAUAGGAUAAGAGUUUGAUAAAUAUCACAACUCCUCAAAACUCGGCAAGCACGCUGGACCUUGACUUCGUCUAACACCCCCCGCAAGCUGACAGGUUGAGGAACAACAGGAAGCUUGGACACCAACAUCUUGAAUCUAGACGAAGACAGACCUUUAGUAAAUAUAUCUGCAAGCUGAUCUUGAGAACAAAUGUAAUUAACCAACAGUUCACCACGAACUACUUUCUCCCUGACGUAGUGAUAAUCAACCUCUAAAUGCUUAGUUCGUGAAUGAAACACAUGAUUCGAAGCAAGAGCUAUGGAAGACACAUUGUCACACCAUAUCUGAGGCCGUAUAUGUUAGACAAUAGAAUCCUAGUCAAAGUAAUAGAUAUGAUUGUAAUCCUAAUUGUGAUUGUAUUCCUAGUUUGUAGGGAUUAUGCCUUGUAGAGCAAGGAAUGUACUUGUAUAUAUUUCUUAUUCACGUAUCAAUGAAAUAUACUUUUACCCUAUACAUCCUUUUCUACAUGGUAUACAGAGCAGGCUUCAUAACCCUAGCUUCUUUUAAUAUUUUUUUUUCGGCAGCCUCAUCCUCCUGCCGUUAUUGUUCUUGUUCUUCCAUCAUGGGAGAUUCCGAUUCCAGUACUCCUUUUUAUAUUCACCAUUCUGAUCACCCUAACCUUGUUCUUGUUUCCAAAAAAUUAAAUGGCGACAACUACACCACCUGGGCACGCGGCAUGGAGAUCUCUUUGAGCGCCAAGAACAAACUUGGCUUUAUUAAUGGUGACAUUGCCGAACCGUCCUCCUCCGAAGACCCUGAUACGCACGCUGCCUGGCGUCGCUGCAACGAUAUGAUUCUUUCAUGGCUUCUUCAUUCUUUGGAGCCUGACCUUGCCGAGUCCGUCCUCUUUUCCACUACUGCCAAAGUCGUUUGGGACGACCUCCGUGAACGGUUCUCCCAAAGCAAUGAUCCUCGUAUUUUUCAACUCAACCGUGACCUUGCCACUAUCUCUCAAGGCACUUCAUCUGUUUCCGCCUACUUCACUCAUCUCAAAGGCCUUUGGGACGAACUUGCCUCCUACAAUGACCACUGCACUUGUUCUUCUGGCACCAAGAACGACAGACAACAACUUAUGCAGUUUCUCAUGGGCCUUAACGUGUCUUUUUCGACCGUUCGUGAUCAAAUCCUCUUGAUGAACCCACUGCCCACCGUUCGCCAAGCAUGCUCCUCCGUGUCUCAGGUAGAGAAGCAACGUUCGAUGGGUUCUCUUCGUUCAGCCGAUUAACCUGCAGCAGCCAUGGCGGUCCGUGGAUCGUCCCGUGCUUCCUCCGACCGUCCUCCUCUUCACUGCACUUAUUGCAACUAUGAUUUUCACACCCGUGACACCUGCCACAAGCUUCAUGGUUAUCCUGUUGGUCAUCCUUUCCAUGGCCAACCAUGGAGGCCACCCCGUCGUUCUACAUCUGUUGGUUCUUCUCGCAGCAACAAUGGUGCUCCUCUUCCUGCCCGUCACACCCAUGCAGCUAAUCCUCGGCCCACUCUCAGGCCCACACGGCUUCAGUCCCUCCAUCAGCCCACCACGUGCAAGGGCAGCCCACACUGCAUGAUGUUCAGCUUGCUAUGCCACAUCUCUCGGCCGACCAACACUCCCGAGUCCUUGCUGCCCUAACUGAUGCUGCCAACCCUCAUUCAUCUCCUCAGGCUCAUGCUGUUUUUAAUAAGGACUUUGCCAAAGGUUUGUUUCCCGUAGCUUCUCGUCUUGGUCAAUGGAUCAUUGACAGUGGAGCUACAGAUCAUAUUACUUCAUCUGCCUCAUGUUUGGUUAAUACUUCUCCUUCAUAGUUACCACCUGUUUCUUUGCCUAGUGGUUCUACCGCACCUAUUUCUUUAACUGGCACUCUCCAUUUAAAUUCCUCUAUACAUGUGAACGAUGUCUUAUGCGUCCCUAAUUUUAAUGUGGACCUUUUAUCGGUUGGUAAGCUUACAGAUGGAUUAUCGUGUUCCGUAACAUUUUUUCCCACUUGGUGUGUUUUGCAGGACUUGGUUUUGAAGGCGAUGAUUGGUGUGGGUAAGCGACGUGGCGACCUAUAUUACCUUGUGGCCCUUGCCUCUUCCCUUCCCUCCUGUCAGCCCCUCUGCCAUGUCAUCACCAUCCCAUCUUCCCUGUGGCAUAGGCGCCUUGGUCAUCCUUCCUCUCCUCGUUUACAAGUUUUAGCUUCUAAAUUUUUAAAUUGUUCUUUUGAUUCUAGUCAUGUUUGUGAUGUUUGUCCUUUGGCGAAACAAACCCGUCAACCUUUUGGUUUAAGUUCAAUUUCAACAACUUUUCCUUUUGCUUUAAUUCAUUGUGAUAUUUGGGGUCCGAAUUGUCAAUCUUCCCUUUCUGGAGCUCAUUAUUUUUUAACCAUUGUGGAUGAUUUUUCUCGCUUUACGUGGGUCUUUCUCAUGAAACAUAAAUCUGAUACUCAACAAUUAAUCAAGGAUUUUUUUGCUUAUGUCCAUACCCAAUUCCAUACUCAUAUCCAAUGCAUUCGUACUGACAAUGGCGGCGAAUUUCUUUCUCUUCGUCCUUUUUUUUCCGCUAAUGGGAUUUUACUUCAAACUUCUUGUGUCUAUACCCCUCAACAAAAUGGCGUUGUUGAAUGCAAACAUAGGCACCUCCUAGAAACCGCCCGCGCACUCCGCGUUCAGUCCCAUCUUCCUCUCAAAUUUUGGGGUGAAUGUAUCCUUACCGCUGCUUAUUUAAUCAAUCGUUUUCCCACUCGUCUUCUGCACAAUAAAUCUCCCUUUGAGAUCCUCCAUAACAAAGUCCCCACCUAUGAUCACUUCCGCGUCUUUGGUUGUUUAGCCUAUGCCACCUCUGUCAUUCCACCCACUAAAUUUUCCCCUCGAGCCCAUCGUUGCAUCUUCCUUGGUUACCCUCCUGCCCAAAAGGCAUACAAACUAUAUGACCUAGCCACUCACCGCAUCUUCACAAGUCGGGACGUAAUUUUCCAUGAAGAUUCCUUCCCUUAUACUCUUCCACCCACCCAUACCGCUUCACCCACUCCUACCCUGCCUCUUCCUUCUUCUCUGGACCUUCCUUAUCCCCCACUCCCUGUCACUACGUCACACCCACCUACUGCACCUCCUGCCACCUCAUCCCCGACUCCCUCUCCUGACGACACAUCCCAUGUCCAUCCUUCCACCACUAUAGCCACGGCCCCACCUGUUCCCUCCACCGCUUCCCCCUCUAGUUCCACCCACCUACCCCCGGACCCCACCACCUCCACGCUCACCUCUCCUUCUGACCUUCCCCCCACCCCUCGCAUCUCUUCCCGUACCUAUAAAACCCCAUCCUAUUUAAAGGACUAUGUUUGCUCGCAGGUGAUUCUGCCACCACACCAAUCUUCCACUUCGCAACCCAGUUCUAUAAAAGGUACGCGAUAUCCCAUUUGUAAUUUUAUUUCUUAUCACCGUUAUUCUCCCCAGCAUCUUUCCUAUAUAUAUUCUGUUAGUCAGCAUGUGGAGCCCUCCUCAUUUGCCGAGGCUGCCAGUGAUCCUCAUUGGCGUCGUGCCAUGACUGUGGAGCUUCAAGCAUUACAUGCUAAUGGUACUUGGACCAUGACUACCUUGCCACCUGGCAAAGUUCCUAUUGGUUGUAGGUGGGUUUACAAAUUGAAGUAUAAUUCUGAUGGUUCUAUCGACCGCUACAAAGCUCGCUUAGUUGCCAAAGGUUACACUCAGGCUGAAGGUAUUGAUUAUCAUGACACUUUCUCUCCUACUACUAAGAUGAUUACGGUGCGUUGUCUUCUCGCAUUCGCUGCUAGCCAGUCUUGGUCUCUUCAUCAGCUUGAUGUUAAUAAUGAUUUUUUGCACGGUGACUUACAUGAGGAAAUUUAUAUGUCUACUCCUCCUGGUCUUCGGCGACAGGGGGAGAAUCUUGUGUAUCGCCUCCAUAAAUCUCUAUAUGGUCUUAAGCAAGCUUCUCGCCAAUGGUUUGCAAAAUUCACUACUGCCAUUCUUUCCGUUGGUUUUCAACAAUCAAAGGCUGACUAUUCAUUGUUCACCAGAAAGUCCGGUACUUCUUUUACAGCAUUACUUAUUUAUGUGGAUGAUAUUGUGAUUACAGGCAACGAUCUCAGAGCUAUAGAUUCUCUCAAGACUUUUCUCCGUGAUCGUUUUCGGUUAAAAGACCUUGGUGAAUUAAAAUAUUUCUUAGGUAUUGAGGUCUCUCGAUCUCAACGUGGCAUUUAUAUUUCACAACGAAAGUAUGCAUUGGAGAUUCUUAGGAUUAUGGUUUUCUGGGGGCACGUCCCAUUGCUUUCCCUAUGGAUGAUACAAAAUUAUCUGAUCAAGGAGAACUUCUCAAGGAUCCUGAAAAAUAUCGGCGCUUAGUAUGAAGGUUGAUUUAUCUUACCAUAACUCGGCCAGAUAUCACUUAUUCCGUGCAUGUUUUGAGUCGGUUUAUGCACGAGCCUCGUAUCUCUCAUAUGGAUGCUGUGCUUUGUGUUGUUCAUUAUUUGAAAUCUACUCUAGGUCAAGGCUUAUUAUUUCGUUCUGACAACCAGACCAAGCUAGCUGCAUUUUUUGACUCUGACUGGGCAGGUUGUCCUAUCACUCGCCGUUCGACUACUGGGUAUUGUGUUUUCUUGGGAAACUUUAAUUUCGUGGUGAACAAAGCGACAGAAAACCGUGUCGCUUUCCUCAGCUGAGGCAGAAUAUAGGGCUAUGGCAGGUGCUUGUUAUGAGUUAGUUUGGCUUCGACAUUUAUUGAAGGAUUUGAACGUUUCUUUAGAAGGUCCUUCCGUGUUAUUUUGUGAUAAUCAAGCAGCAUUGCACAUAACCGCUAAUCCCGUCUUUCAUGAGCGGACUUGUCACAUAGAGAUGGAUUGUCACUUCAUACGGGAUAAGAUUGCAGAUGGCACUAUAGCAACCAAAUAUGUGGGUACGGCACACCAGUUAGCAGAUUUGUUCACUAAGCCUCUUGGGAAAGACAAGUUUACAACUUUGAUGUGCAAGUUGGGUGUUCUUGACAUUCACUCUCCAACUUGAGGGGGACUGUUAGACAAUAGAAUCCUAGUCAAAGUAAUAGAUAUGAUUGUAAUCCUAAUUGUGAUUGUAUUCCUAGUUUGCAGGGAUUAUGCCUUGUAGAGCAAGGAAUGUACUUGUAUAUAUUUCUUAUUCACGUAUCAAUGAAAUAUACUUUUACCCUAUACAUCUUUUUCUACAGUAUAAGAUGUAACUGCAAAUCUCGGAAUAACGAUCGCAACUAUGAAAUUUCAGCUGCUGUGUAGGCAAGUUGCCUGUACUCGGCCUCAGAACUCGAACGAGAAACUGUUUUCUGUUUCUUGGAACUCCAGGACACCAGGUUUGAACCAAGAUAAAUACAAAACCCACCAGUAGAAUGCCGAGUGUCUGGAUUCCCAGCAUAGUCCGCAUUAGAGAAAGCAGAAAGAUGAGCAGUACCUGGUUUAUAGAGAAGACCAUGACUAUGCGUAGCCUUCAAGUAAUGUAAAAUUCGUUUGACUGCCAUCCAGUAAACCGUUGUUGGAGCAGGCAUAAAUUGACAGACUUGAUUAACUGCAUAAGAUAAGUCUGGGCGAGUUAUUGUCAAGUAUUGUAGAGCACCUACGACACUACGAUACAACUCUGGUUGAUCAAAAGGGUCGCCAUCAUGAGCACUUAGUUUCUGACCAGAAGACAUUGGUGUAGAAAUUGGUUUAGCCUUAGUAAAUUUGGUACGGGACAACAAGUCGAGAGCAUACUUAGAUUGACACAAAUGCAUGGUAGUUCCAUCGUACUUGACUUCUACACCCAAGAAGUAAUUCAACCCUCCCAAAUCCUUCAUGGAGAACAAAGUACUCAACUUCGUAAUUAACUUGGACAUAUGACGAGGACUGUUCCCAGUUACCAAAAUAUCAUCCACAUAGAUGAGAAGAAUAAGAUACACCCCUUUGUGAUUGAACACAAACAAACUGUAAUCACAAGUGGAUUCCUGAAAACCAAGUUGAAGCAGAAAAUCUGAGAAUCGCUGAAACAGGCCCUAGGAGCCUGUUUGAGGCCAUAAAUAUUGCGUUCAAGUUUACAAACAUGAUUAGGUAACUGCUGAUCAACAAAACCCGGAGGCUGGCGCAUGUACACUGUUUCGGUCAAGAAACCAUGCAAAAACACAUUUUGGACGUCAAGCUGCCUCACACGCCAACCUCUUGUAACUGCAAGACUUAAAACAAGUCAAAUUGUACUAUGUUUAACCACGGGACUGAAAGUCUCAUUAUAAUCUAUACCAGCCUUUUGAUGAAAUUCAUUGGCGACAAGCCGCGCCUUGUAACGUUCAAUUGUUCCAUCUGCAUGUCUCUUCAAUUUGAAAACCCAUUUGUUUGGUAGUAAAUUCAUUUUUGGAUGAAACGGGACCAAACGCCAAGUUCCAUACCGUUGCAAAGCAUUAAAUUCUUGUACCAUUGCAUUCCUCCAAUCCUGGGAUUUGACAGCUUGACUGAAACAAGUUGGCUCACUAGGAGAAUUAUUAAUAGUCACAAGCAUGGCAUACUUUGGGUUUGGUUUGUGAAUACCAGACUGGGAACGUGUAGUAACACGAUGGCCUGUAGAACCUGACACCACUGGGACUGAUUCCGUAGAUAUUUCAACUUGUUCACAUGAAGGUAUGGUUGAUGACACAGACGAGGAUGACACUAGGGUAGUAGGGUUAGGGCUUGAGGUGACAACAGAAGUAAUGUGGCCAGGAUGAUACUGUGCAGUGUUUGGGGCAGGUUGAGACGGUGCAGUGGUGGGAAGAGGUUGAAACUGUUCAGGGUGUGGUAUGAGGUCAGUGGACACUGAAUGUUUCCCGAGUGUAUGUAUAUCGUCUAACUCUAGAUGGAUUUUUUUCAGAUACUUUAUGAGAUUGGAGAACUUUUAGCAAGCACUUUGAACCUUUCCUUUUCAAGAGACAAGAUCACGUGGAAUCCAACAAGAAAAUCAAAAGAUGAUCGGGAGCCAUGGCGUGCAUUAUAUGGUUAAACCUCUACUGUCUGUGACAUUAGAGGUUGAGACAAGAUCUAUCGUCGAGUGCAUCAGGUUGAAAAACUUUCAGUUCAUACUGUGAUUGAUAGAUCUAUGUUCAACAUCAUAGUGCUUAAACUUUCAUUUAUGGAUUAUAUAUUAAGGAUGAUGGGAUAAUCUGAAUGAUUAGUUCAUGUGUUCAUCCUGUUGGGUGCAUUGUAUGGUUCUUAUUCGAACCUGUAAUGUAGUAACUACAAUCAAAUCAUUCAUCAUACAAUAAAAACGAAUCAUGCAAUACACUAAAACAAGACAUCAUUUAGUAAUACAGUUUAGUAGUGUUCCUCUUCAUUUGUAAAUGAGAGGUUCUACAUAUACCACCAAUUUAUUUCUUAAUAUAUAAUCCAUCGAAUUAGUUACACCUCUAAUUUUGGAAUCUCACAUAAACAGAUACAAUAAGAAAUAUAAAAUAAUGAAAUACCUUUACAACCAACGUUUCACAUUCCUAUUAAAUAUUCCUUUUCCGUAAGUAGAAACGGUAAUUCUAACUAGGAGGGGGAAUUGCAUCCCAGCAAAUAAAGUGACUGGAACACUUGAAAGAAGUAUGGUCGGAAUCACAAUCCAAGAAUGUCCACGAACUAUAAUUAGAAGGGCAGCGGAAAACGCAACCAUCAUGGUUGCAAUAGCGAAAAAGAGAGUGGCAAGACCAAUUAUCAUUUUUGUGGGUAAGGAUUUCAGGAAAUCAUCUUCUGCGAAACGUGACGUGAGAAUUCCAAGAAACGUCAAUGUUGCAGUCGUGGAAGAAAAGAGUGAUAUAGCAUCUGAAAUUAUAAAUAACAUAAACAAUUUUUCAUCGAUGAAUGUGGGAAAACCGGUAUCUCCAUUUCCUCCAGGAAUUGUGAUUACUGCAGCAAACAUGAUGGUGAUAAUAAGAGCACCUACAACAGUGUAAGAAGUUGCCGUCUCUUUCAUCCAUUUUUCUCCUUCCUUUAGCAAUUCACUGUGAUUCUUUGUAAAUAGUUCCCUUGGUUUCAAAUUUUCAUUGAAGUUCAUACACUCAAGAAACUUAGGAGGUACAAUAGUCUCUACUUCCUGCAUUGCAUUGAACAACUACUGAUAUAUGAGAGCAUAAAAUAUAAUUUUCUAUAAUCUUUGUUAUAUUAGGGUUAACUACAUUUUACACUCCAAGAUCUGAACAUGGUAUUCAAAAUUGAUCACAAUGUUUCAAUUUUAACAUUUACGUAUUAAAGGCUUUAAGAUUGUGUUAAUUUUACAACUUCUUUUAGAUUGUGUAAGUACUGUAAUAUAGGCAAAGUAAUUAAGAACUAUGCUGAGUGAGAAAUUCUAACCUUGUACCAUUGUAGUUCACGCUGCAUUUGCAAUGCUGCACCUGGAAUAUGAUUACGUUGUGCAGAUGGGGACAACAACCCAGCUAUAUGUAGCAUGUUAUUAUUAUGCUCAUCGGCAAGAUUUGUGAUAGUGUCUUUCGUAGAUAUCCCAUAUAUAAGGUUAUAAAUCUUUUCUUGACGACAUUCGAUGGCAACGUGAAAUAAGCCCCUUGACCUGUCAUCUCCGAACAUCAGAAGUUCAGGAUUUGCUUUACACAUAUGAGUAACAAACUCCACGUUCCCCCUCCUAACAGCUAGGAAGAUUGCCGAACGCACAAAGGGAUAACUCAUUUGUUGCAUAUCGAAAUCUUUAUUUAUCUCUUCGCAGAUGAGCUUUAAAAAUGCAAGUGAGCCGACAUGGACAAUCUUCAUUUCAUAUAUGCGUUUGAUUCCUGAGUUGACAUUUAAAACCCAAAUGUUUAAGACAUAAACUAAUUUGGAUAAUUGAUUUGAAUUCAAAUCUACAACAAAUAAAAUUGUUACUAGCAUACCAAGUAUCUCAACGAUUUUCGAAACAAGCCCUUCCUUUUGUUUUUCUGAAUGGGAAACAAGUCGUUCCAUUAAACCUCCCACUGCAAUGGAAAAAAUGUUGGUGAAACUUAUGGAGCAUAUUGUUAGAUGUACGACCGACCUAAUGGAACUUGCAUAAUGGAAAAUGAGAUUAUAUUCACACAUUUCAAAUUACUUCUCCCACAUUCUUUUAAUUUUUUAAUAUUUUUCUAUCAGGUGUUAGUGGUGUGUAGAAAAUAUUAAAAAAUUAAAAAAAUGUGAAAGAAGUAAUUUGAAGUAUGUGAAUAUAAUCUCUCUAAUGGACAUCCAAGGUGUGUAGACCAAGAGUGGGUUUCAUAACCCUAGCGGUGCCACUUCGCCCAACAGUCAACUUUUCAGUCAACAUGCUACAAGUCUCGUUCUGUAGUACCACUAAAUUUAGAGGUGUGCUAUCCACACACUCUAUUUUACUUUUUACACAUCCCUUGAUAAUUUAUGUCCGUUGAUCUUCUUCAAUUCAUCCGAUCCGACGGCCGAAAAUUAAAAAUGUAUGUGAAACGUAAAAUGAGAUGUGUGGAUAUCACAUCCCUAAAUAUAAUAGUCGUUGGACUUCAAAUGGUCAUUUGACCUUUGGUUGGUCGCAAGACAUUUUAGUCAUUCGCACAUUUAAGUUCUCAUUUCCUCAAUAGUGUGUUGUCACGGGCAACAUGCACACCGAUUUGCGUGCAAGUGAGGACCAUAUCACAAUUUGCGUGUUAUAAAGGUAACCACAUAAACGUGUUGUGCUCAUAGAACGUUGAAUUAUUUUCUUAGGCAUUGAUACUAUCUGAGUGCUUCUAUCUACGUGCUACCAAGUGUUGAUAAAUAGCUUUGGACUUUAGGUGAGUGAUUUAAGUUAUUAUUAUUUGUUAUAGGUCUAAUUUACUGAACUGUAUUUAGGACUAGAGAGGAAGAGGGCCGGCGGCAAGAGAAAGAAGAGAGAAAUGUAAUUCUGAGGUAUGUUGUAUGCCUUUAUUUAUAGUAUUAUGGUAAGUUAAAUCCUUAUUCUAAUAGGAUUACAAAUCUUAUAGGAUAUUAACUAUUAAAAUGAAUAUUCAAAGAUAUUCCUAUAUACAAUAGAAUUUACACAAUCACAUUGCUAAUCUAAUAGGACUGCAACAUCAUCAUCAUCAUCAUCAUCAUCAUCAUUAUUAUUAUUUAUUUUAAUAAAUGAUAUUAUCUACACUAAGGAGAAGGUGGUGGACUAGGCCUCACAAUGAACUAGUAAUAAGGUGGUUCAAAUUUGUCUUUGACAAGAAUUGACUCUAAGACCUCUCACUUACAAGUGAAGAGGAAUACUACUAGACCGUAGUACCAAGUGACACAUAAAUAUUUAAAUAUAUUAUAUGAUAUUGCUACUGGUACUUUUAAUUAGUCAUGAUCUUUUAUGAAAGGGUAAUGCUAUCUAUACACUUCUUUUUUACCUCACACACACACCUCUUAAUUUUCAACCGUCAGAUCGAAUGAAUUGAAGAAGAUCAAAUGACAGAAAAUAACAAGAGGUGUAUAUGACGUAAAAAUGAGUGUGCAGAUAGCACCGCCCAAAUUUUUCAUACAAAAAAAAUGGCCCUUGGGUACAAAUUAAGGACACAAAUGAGGAAUUCGUGUCUCUUUGAACAUCAAAUAGGGUGGAUUAAUGUCUAGUCAAUAAUGGGCACCCCAUAUUGUGUCCAAUGUGAAAAGAUGAACACAAAACACUAAUGGGCACGGACCGUGCGAAGAGAGACAUGUGUCCGUUGGCUUGACAACUUUUUGAUAAAACAUAGAUACGAAAGACUUUUUGUGUCUAUAAAUAGGAUUUAUAAGCACAAUGACAUUGUGCCCAUCUUUAUAAUAAUGAAACUGUAUUAACUAAAUAUUAUAAAACGUGUGACAAAAAUGGUUUUAUUGUGUUUACACUUUACAGAAGCUUAGCAAUAACAUGUAUGUUUCUCAUGGUUUAUACACUAUUACAAACUUCUCUUCUAUCUCCAAACUUCCCUGGGCAAUUUUUUUAUGAAGCCCAAAUUUUUUUUCACGAAGGCUAAAUAGCCAAUAUGGUCCUUGAGAUUUGCAUAACUCAUCACUUUGGUUCCUAACAUUUCAAAUUAAUAAAAGUGGUCCUUGAGAUUGUCCACCAUUCAUCAUUUUGGUCCCGUUAAAAACUCCGUUAAGUGUCCCGGAGCUCUUGGCUGGAAGUUUGGUCAAUUUUCAAAGCUUCGUAACUUAAUCGUUUCUUAACCAAAUUCGACCCAUAAUAUAUCAAAAUGAAGAUAGGAAAGUGUAGAAUAAGAUUAUACCUAUUUGAAAGCCCAAUGGCUGCCGGAGAUGGCUGGAAAAUAGCCUCAAAGUUGACAGGUCCGAGGGAAAACUGGAAAACUUGCCGGAAACUGGGUAAACUUUAAACAUUCAUAACUUCUUCAAUACUAAACGAAAUCAAGUGAUUCAAAAACGAAAAUCAUACUUCUCGACGAGAUGAAGAGAACGGUAUCUUUUUAGAUGGAUAAAUCGCCUUGGUUUGGCCAAAAAAGGGCUCGAAAGUGGCUAACUUGAGACCAAGACAGCCACUUUCGAGCCGUUUUCCGGCCAAACCACGGAGAGUUAGCUAUCGAAAAAGGUACCAUUCUCUUCGUCUCAUCAAGAAGUAUGAUUUUCGUUUUUGAAUCACUUGAUUUCAUAGAAGUUAUGAACGUUCAAAGUUUACCCAGUUUCCGACGAGUUUUCCAAUUUUCCCUCGAACCAGUCAACUUUGAGGCUAUUUUCUGCCCAUCUCCGGCUGCCAUUGGGCUUCCAAAUAGGUAUAAUCUUAUUCUACACUUUCCUAUCUUUAUUUUGAUAUAUUAUGAGUCGAAUUUGGUUAAGAAACGAUUGAGUUACGAAGCUUUGAAAAUUACCCAAACUUCCGGCCAAGAGCUCCGAAACACUUAGUGGAGUUUUUAACGGAAUGAUCAAAAUGAUGGAUGGUGGACAAUCUCAGGGACCACUUUUAUUGAUUUGAAAUGUUAGGGACCAAAGUGAUGAGUUAUACAAAUCUCAGGGACCAUUUUGGUUAUUUAGCCUUUCACGAACCAGGAGCCUCUACAACUCCAACCUCAUGAUAAAAUACGGAGUUUUGUGCUAUUUAAUUUAGUAUAUUUAAAUAAAAGUUAAUUUUUUUGCCCUAGUUUAUUUAUUUUUUUUUUAUUUUUGAAAGAAAAAUAUUAACUACAUUAAGAAAGUAGGGGAGUGCGUUAAGCCUCAUAAUGAGUUAACAAUAAUGUGGUUCGAAGUCGCAUUUGACGAUAAUUAAACUCAUACCUUUCACUUACAAGUCAAAACAAAUACCACUAGACUGUAAUACUAAGUAGUGACUUAACAUUUAGUGUAUUUAAAUAAUAUGUAAUUUUUGUGCCCUAAGAUUUGUUAUUAUUUAAAUAAAAUUACUUUUUGAAUUAUCUGCACUGUGCACUUUUUACAUUUCAUAUGGCAUGUAUAAAAAUAUAGAUUGCCGUUUAACCCCUAAACUAUUGUGUCAAUUGAAAUUGACCCCCAUGAUUUUUUUUUUGGUAAAUUAACCCCCAAAACUAUUUUAAAUCAGCCAAUUAACCCCUCAUCGUUAGAUUUGAAAAAAUUCAUCUACUUUGCUGUUAGAUUUGAGGGUAAAUUCGUCUUCUUAACGGUUAGAUUUUAGGGUAGAAGAGAUAAAGGGGAUGACAAAUAAAAAGACAAUUUUACCCUCAAAUUUAACGGCAGAGUAGAUGAUUUUUUUUUUUUUCAAAUGUAAUGGUAAGAGGUUAAUUGAUGGAAAUGAAUUCUCUCUGUAUCCAUCAAGUCUGGAGAUUCGGAUCAUUAAAAUUUGAUCUAACGGCUACAAAUAGGGCCCCAUUUUAAAAGUUAUAAUAACUUUUAAAGUGGGCCCCUCUUUAUAGCCGUUUGAUCAAAUUUUAAUGGUCCGGAUCUCCGGACUUGGUGAAUUAGGAGGAAGGGAUCCAGAGAGGAUCCCUUUCCUUAAUUGACUUAUUUAAAAUAGCUAGGGGGUUAAUUUACCAUAAAAAUAAUUCAUGGGAUCAAUUUUAACUGGUACAAUAGUUUAGGGGUCAAACGGUAGUUUGCUCAUAAAGAUAUCAUGCCUUUUGUGUAAACUACAAUUUAAAAAAAAUAUGAAAAAUAAAAAAGAAACUGUUAUUAGCACUUUAAAAGUCUCAUUAUGUACUCUUCAUAAAUGUAUUUUUUUCUAACUAUAAAAAAUUUGAAAUGCCAAAUAAGUUUUAAGAGUGGUAAUAACAAUUUUCAAUAAAAAAAAAGGUGAUUAAUCCUCUCUGUCCUCCCUCCCUCCCCUCUUCGUCUCUCCUCCCUACCGUAUCCUCGCUCCCUCUUCUCUUUCACGCAACGGAGCUGUCGUCCAGCGGUCACCAACGACCGUCAAAUGACAUCUCCAGAAUCUCUUUCCGUCCUCUUUCCAAACCACAGGUUAGUUUCUACAAAUUCGUAGCCGAAUUUCCUUAAUUUCAGAUCUAAGAAACGUAAGGAUUUUGAUCGGCUUUUGUUUUGUGUGUUUUGCAGGUAUGGGAGCGGCAUACGGGACGAUGAAGACCGGAGUUGGAGUGGCGACGAUGGGUGUGAUGAGGCCAGAGCUGGUGAUGAAGUCGAUCGUGCCGGUGGUUGUAGCGCGAGUUUUGGGUAUUUCCGCAUUUUCAAUCUCGAUUUUACACUACUUCAAUUUGAUUUAGAAUUUUUUUUUGUUGUUUUGCUAUUUUAAUCUGUCACUGGUUGUAUAGAUUGCAAUACAACAUCAAUUGGAUUGUUGAAGAGUCAAGUUUUCUUGGUGUAAUUACUGUUAUAACUAGAUGCUAAGAGUGUGAACAUUGAUUUGAUGCUUGUAUAUAUAUGCAGGUGGAGCGAAGGUGAAAGCUGACGAAGAUGUUCCACAGAGAGGUAAGUUCUUUAUCUAUUUUCAAUAUAUUGUUCUUAAUUAGCUCAUCGCGUUUUCUUUCGACUAUGUCCUGUAAAAGCUUUAUUUUUCAAUUCAUAAAAAGUUAUGGGACUCUUAAAAGUUAUAGGCAAGAAGGGAAUGAGGUCCAACGCCUGCGAGCAAUGCAUUGAGUUUUCUUGGUAGUAAUGCAUUUUUUUUUGGUUUUGUUUUGGCCCUUGAACAUCACUGGAAUAUGUGGUAGUUGAUAUCAUAUCUCUUCGAAGGGAUUUGGCCUUACUUCUGCUGAGGGUGUCGAUAUCAUAUCUUUUCAACUGUUUCUUAAUUUAAGUUUUUAUUUUUUUAAUGGGUUAAACAGCUAACGAUGAGGAUUGAAUUUUUAAGUAGAGUACUUAUUUAUAGGAAGCAGGGUCUUAGAGAAAAUUGUAGUAAAUCAAAUUCAUUAUUGUUAUUUUCCUUUUUUCACAGGUUCCUGAAGCUUAUGAUCGGCCUCUCUUCUCAGGUAUUGAUGUAACUUCAUUUUAAUGCAGUAUGAUGCUUUUAGAGAUUGUUUUGGCCAAACAAUUUCUCUGUGCACACUAAUAAACUAUAUCAAUUUCUCUGUGCACAAAUAAACUUUACUAAGCUUAGAGAUUGUUUAGGCUGAAUAAUUUUUCUUUAAUUUAUAAUGUUGAUUUCUUGUUUGAGUUUCACAUGUGAUUGAUCUAUCAAGAACAGAAACCGAGGUGCUCCUAUUGGUCACGAUUUGAAAGUUGUGUGUAUAGUUCUGUCCUAUUGGUGCUUAACUCUUUGAGCGCAAAUAGUCAUAUCGUGCCCUCUCAUCAAAUGGCACACCCAUAGAGGGCACGUAUAAUAGUUUAGUUGCUGCACUUGCUACUAUUGAUAUAUGGCACAUACGUUGGUGCCCUUUGACCUCAUAGGGGCACAAAUAACUUUUUGUGCACAGUGGCCAUAUUUUUUGUGGUGAAAUGAGAUAUCUAUGCGUAUUUCAAUUGUUUGUGAACUGAGAGCUAGAGGGUCAAUAACAUAGUGUCACAAGGUUAGGUGAUAGUAAGUCUGCACCGUGUAGCAUUGGAAUACAUGACAUCAUACCUGGUAAAUCCGUAUUGUGCGAUGACUAUAUACAUGAAUAAUUAUGUAUCAUGUAGCAAUGAAGUGCAUGGGAUGUUGACUUAGUAUAUUCGUAUUAAGAGAUCACUACGUAUGGGAUCAUAACCUAGUAAAGUCGCAUGUGCGAUCAAUAUUUUCGAAAGAUGAUUGUGGCGUGGUGAAUCCAAAUUAUGCAAUCAUCUUCUCUAGUCAGUAAGUGCUAUAAAGUCCAAAAGUGUAAUCAUGACAUGAUAAAUUCGCCAGCAGCCCAAGUGCUGCCAGGUUAAAGGUCGUACCCAGUGCACAAGGCUCCCGUUUUACGCAGGGUCUGGGAGAGGUGAAUGUCGGCUAGCCUUACCCCCAUUUAUGGAGAGGCUGCUCCCAAGUCUCGAACCCGAGACCUACCGCUCAUGGGCUUUAUUGUGUGAAUUUUCAUACUGGGUUUUAUUGUGUGAAUUCUCUAUGCAAACCCUGAAUUUUAGAAGUAAGGAAUUUUUGAGAAUUCAAGGAAUGCUUAUCUCCUAAAUUAUAAAUAUUCUUGGAGUCCUAUUUUAGGUAGGAUUAGGCUUUGUCUAUUAUGGACUACAAUCGCCGUCCUGGUUGCCUACUAGGGUUCAUGUCUAUAAAUAGUCAAGUCAAACAGGGAAAACGGUAAUUAAGUGGCAAAUUUGUCAUCUAUGUGAGUUGUAAUUGAGACCUCUUACGUACGAAUAAAGAGAAAUAUCAUAUAUUCCCUUGGUUAAAGUUAAGCAGGAAUUUGAAGUGGAUAACCCAAAUUAGAUCGUACCAUUUAUACAACAUUUUUAGCGUGUUAAUGAUGGGAGAGGAAGGGGAUAACAAACCUGAGCGAAAUAAACUCCCUCCGUUAUUAGCUUGGGGAUUUUCUUCAUUUUGAACAGUUACACAGAUAUGAUUGAUGCGAGGAGGAGGUUGUAUAUAUAGACCUAUCAAGACAAGAAAAUAUGUCAUAUAAAAGUGAAAGCAAAUAAUUAAGAGAAACAGAAGGGAGUAUGUGGUACACUAACAGUCAUAAACCCAUUGUUGCCAGAAAUUGAGCUCCGCACCGCUCAGGAAUGAAGGGUUUGCUGCCAAAGCAUGUAAAGGACUGAACGAUCCGCGGUCCAAAGUAACGGCUAAUUUUGGGCAACGUUGAAUUAAAUCCCAUGGGACAUCUGUUUAUUUUUAAUGUUACGAAAUUUCCAGAAAUAAUUAGUUUGCUAUAGUAAUUUGUAACUAUGGGAAAAAAGAGUAAACUGUAGCUAGAAUAAGCUAUUUAUUUUUCAAGUUGUGAAUUGAUAACUAUUUUGUAAUCACCUUUUUAAUUUGAAAACCAAAAACUUGUUUGAUAACUAUAUUUAGUUUUCAAGUUUCAAAAAAAUAAAAAUUGAAGGCUAUUUUUUUUUUUUUUUUUUAGUUUUCUAACUUAUAAUUUCAGUUUUUUUUUUUUUUUUGGAAAUUUGAAAGCAGUUUACCAAACAACUGAAAUGAUUAUCAAACGAACUCUUAAAUUUCAUUUUUGUAGUCCUCAACAGCAUGUUAUUACUCAUAUUUAAAAACUUUUACCAUAUUCUUUGGAUGCAAAACAACUGGAGAUUAUGGAAGCGCCAUGAGGUCCUUUGUCUGGCAUUAAAUCGUCAAGUGGAGUGACGGAGUAGAGAUAUCGAGCCAUAUGCCAUUGACCUUUCAAAUAAGCAUCCACAAUUGGAAGCUCGUUGAAAGCAUUGGGAAUGCUGAGUAAUUUUUGGUUCUUUGUUACCAUGCAUUGAGCCAUUUCGAUAAUCCCUUUAGUUGCAGCAAUAGCAAGAGCUGUGCGACCUGCUGAUUUUAUUUCCAAGUCGUCCUCAUCCAUCAACGACACCAAUUCUUUGACAAUAUCCACAUGCCCAGCUUCAACUGCAAUGUGAAGAGCUGUCUUCCCAUAAAAUGGAUGUCUUACUCCUACUGCCUCCGGGUGUUGGAUGUAAAAGUCCUUUGCAGUUUCCCAACGACCAGCUUGCACAGCCUCAAAGAAAGGUUUGUACUGACUAUAUUCAAGUCCUGUCAAAAUUUAUCUUGUUUUGUUAUUAUUAAUUACCCCAUACUUGUUUAGUUUUAUGCAUGAACAUUUCUGUAGUUAAAAACUUCAAUCAUAGAAACGAUGGAAGAUAAUGUUUUGGGUUCCUUGUUAUUUAACUUUUUAAUCAAGUUAUAUGAAAUUAUAUGACAACUAGAAAAAUUAUAUGGGAUCAUUGUGAUUAACACUCCAAAGUGUUAGGAAAAUAGAGCACUGAAAUUUAAUCACAAAGAAAACCAAGAAAUCAUUCAUGCCAUUAAUUAAAUACACAGUUUAAAUAUGUUCAAACAAGGUUUUUUAGCCAAAAUGAGCCUUGAGAUUUGCAAACUUUGAUCCCUGAGAUUUGAAAUCAAAGGAAGUGAGUCCCUGAAAUUGUGCAUCAUCAAUCAUUUUGGUUAUUUGGUGAAAAAUCAUGUUAAAUAAGGAUCAAAAUGACAAAAAUACCUUCAAUUUAAUAAACAAUAGGCCAAAAUGAUUUGACAAAAUUUGAGGAUAUUUUUAUCAUUUAUCCUUAUUUUAUGGAGAUUUUUCACGGAAUGAUCAAAAUGAUUGUUGUGGAUAAAUUCAAAGACAAAUUCAAUUGAUUUCAAAUCUCAAGGACCAAAAUGAGGAGUUAUGCAAAUCUCCAUGACCAUUUUGGCUAAAAAGCCUUCAAACAAUAAAAAAUAAUGCUAAAUGCACAUGAAUAUGGUUACAAAUAUAUGAAAUUUAUGGUAAAAUUAGACAUUAUAUGUCCUUGAGAUGAUUUGCAUUUUACAACAAUGCUCAUCAUUUUAAAUUUUCAUCAUUUUCAUUGAAGGCAACCGAUAUCGAUACAUCCAUCGAUAUUUCUAUAAAUUUAUAUAUUGAUCUUCCACAUAUAUCAAUAUUUUUAAACACUAGAUGAUACGCAAACGUGGUCUAAAAAUAUAGUAGGGUACUGCUAGAGAGACCAAAUUUGUACACUAAAUGAUUUGGAUGUUGAUAAUUGGAUUAUUAUUAAGUAUUGAUUAACGUACUUAUUUUCUAUUUGUGAAACAUGAUUUGGUUUGCAAAUUUAGUUAAAAAAAAUUAAUUUCCCUAACAUUAUGCAAUAUAAUAUUAUAGCAUUUUCUAAAGAAAAAAAUAUAGACGAUUAUUUAAUUAGAUAAUGAAAUAGGAAAUGAUUAUUAUUUUUUGUCUUUUGGCAAGGAGAGAUGCACCUUGUGGCCUUGUGCUUGUAUUGGGCACUGAUGGAUGUAAUGAUGGCUCCGACACACCUGGCCCUGUGCUUGUAUUGGGCACUGAUUGACAAAAUGAUAGCUCCGACACACUUUGUGGUAUAUUCCAAACACCUCGUGGACAUGUGCUUGUAUUGGGCACUGAUGGAUGUAAUGAUGGCUCCAACACACCUUGUGGCCCUGUGUUUGUAUUGGGCACCGAUGGAUGUAAUGAUGGCUCCCAAACACGUUGUGGCAUGUUCUGCCAAACACCUUGUGCCAUGUUCAACCUAUGAUUCAUUGGAGCAUAUCAUAUCAUAUCAUGUAUCAUACAUAUUAUCUAAACAGACAAAAAAUUAGCAAUGAAAUUAAAGUAGUCUAAUUACUACUUACGGAUUGAAAGGAAUGGAAGCCAACAAACUGCAGCUAGUUAGUUAUUAAACUCUUGUAAGCAAGCAAAUAAGCAAUGAAAUAAAGGCUUGCAUUGGCAAACUAAUAAGAAGAAAAUGGGGGAGAGUGGAAAGGGAAGCUACUUAAAAGUGAAGAGGUGUAUGGGCUGCUUUUCCUCGAAUAUUACGGAUCAACUGGACACGCAACCUCUACUUAAUAUUGGUAUCAUAUUCCUACGUACAUGCAAAGUUGGGCAAAGCCUUGUGAUUGACUGAAGAGGAUUUAAUAAGCAAGCCCACACAAAGGUCGGAGUAAUCAAAUGUAACCAAUACAAAAGAAUAAAAACAAAAGGGGGCAAAAGCACGCUUUAGAAAGUCAGGAAAGAACGAACAGGGAGGUGAUUUGAACCCAGAGACCUUACGAUUAUUCCUUUAGUAAUUUUGGGGUUACUGGCAAUCUAUUUGUCUGUUUGUUUAAAAAUAUUAUCUCAGUAACUAGUGAUCAAGGAACGUAUGGUUAUUUAUUUUUAGAUUUGAUAUUAAGAAUGAAGAAUAAAUAGGUAUGCUUUUAGUGUUUUAACCUCUACUCUUAGUAUCACAUUGGGAAGUGACCAAGGGGUUGAGACUCUAGUAUUUUUACUCAUGUCAUACAUUCUUAGUCGAAAGUUGACCCAUAGAGUUAAUUAGUCCUAUUUUUAUGUAACAAUGACUUAUUUAAACUAAGAUUAGUAAAGGAUUUAGUACUAAACUUGUCAUCCACAAGAGUCAAGUGAAGAGGAAUACCACUAAAUUGUAUCUCCAAUCUAAGAUUUAAAGGUUAAAAAUUAUGAAGUCGUAUUUGACUCUAAGUGUGGUGGUGCAAGUUAUUUUAUAAACAAUGCAUAUGAAUCAAAUUUGACUUGUAACUUUUAACUCUUGUAAAUUGGAAGGAGUCUAAUCAAAUUUAGAGAGAAAAUAUAAUUUUUGUAUCUUAUGUGGUGAGGAUCUAACAUUUAGAGCUAUAUCAAAUGUCAAAUAUGAUUUUGCACUUGAAUUAUAUAUGAAUAUAACCUUUCCAGUACAUUAGAGAUGUCUUAUAGUUUUAUUAAGUGAGCUGCAUUUCCCCCUAGAUUUGGCGGAUCUCAUCUCAACACUGAUUUGCUGCAUUACGCGAGCUUCUCUCUGAUUGAAGACUAUGAGUCAUACAUUAUUAGGUGUCAUUUCAACAUGUGUUUAAUUAGUGAACGAGUGAUUAGCUUAAGAGUUAAUCUUGUUGUACAAGGGUAUUCUUGUACUAUUCAUUAAGUUGAAAACAAAUCAGUUACUAAGAAAUACGAGCGAUUUAUUCUUCUCUAAGUUUUCAUUUCUUUCUUCUUUUUUUGUGAUGCUUCUUCUUCUCUGUUACUGUUAUGGUGGUAUUAAAGAGCCAGUCUUGCUUGUGCAUUUGAUUAUGAAGAUUUUGCAAUUGCACUCCAAGUAUCAUGUUCUUCAAGCUCCCAAACCUACUGUCACACACGUUAAUGAUAAAAACUAGUUUUUUUUCAUGAAUUGAACAUGAAAUUGAAGUUUGGAGGCACCACAUGAGGAAUGGCAUAUUAUAUAGCUAGUAAACCAUAAGACAAUUUUCAGUACGUUUUGAUUUAUUUAAAGAAAUAUAUUUAAAGUUUGAUCUACACCCAGCAUUGUAUUGGCUAGAACAUACUUGUCCAACUGAUGGUCCGACCAAAAUAAAACCCGGUCUAGCCUGUAUGUUUGGGUUGGCUAGGCCGAAAAUUUUCAGCCCAACAACCUCUAAUGUGGUGGACAUCAAAUGUUGCUUAAUUAUGUGGUGUAUGAUGCAUGGAGCCCUGGUAGUACAAAUCAUCCUCACCCUACAUUGUUAAUGUAAAUGCUUUUUUUUCGCAUUUCUUGGUUACAAACUUACAGUAAUGGGGUGGUCAAUCGUGGACUCACAUUUCUUGGUUGAGCUACAGUGGGCUGAUUUGGCACGGAAUCUGGUUGACCUGGUCUUGUCCUUAUUUAUCUGGAAGGAUAUACAUAAUCUGACUGUUUUCUGCUGAAAUUCAGAUUAAAUAAAUAAAAUUGUUUGCAGAAAAUAACAAAACCAUGCACAGGGAAUGUUGAAUAAAAUUUUAUAAUCUAUCAUAUUGUCUUUUGCUGGAGGCUGUUUGGUUUAUGUGUUUGGAAGGAGGCAAAUCCAUUUUUUAAUUUUGAACUUCUAAAGUUCCGAGAGCAUCUCUAGUAGAGUCUUUAAAUAGGGACAAACACUAAUAAAAUGAGUAUAAAACAAAUAUAGACAUAAAAUGAAUCUUUGUAGGGUGUACUCAAUUGAGAAUUUGAGAUACUUUAAUAGAUUUAUAAAGAGUAAUGCUAUUCAUACCAUGUUUUGUACCACAUUUUCAUACCAUCUUAUGUGACAUCUGAUGUAGACAGCCACAUCAUUUGAAUUAAUUAGAUUUUUAAAUUUAGUUCAUUAUUUAAUAAACUAAUAAUUAAGAAAAACUAGUUAAUUAAAUUAUGAUUGUGGUAUGAGGAGUCUUUCUCCUUCCUUUCCUUGUGUUUUGCAAAUUUUUCAAAUGAUGUGGCUGUCCACAUCAGAUGCCACCUAAGGUAGGAUAGAAAUGUGAUAUAAAAACAUGAUAUGAAUAUCAUUACUCAUUUAUAAAUCCAUAGAUUUUUAUGAGUUUAAUUGAUUUGUAGAAAUUACAUAUAAAAUUUUGAUUCAAUUCCCUCAAAAUCACAUGGGGAGAGGUGAGAUUUGUAGAUGCUUAAAAUACACUACGAAAUCUCUCAAAUUCCCUCUAAUUUCUCAAGUUUCUCAAAUUCUUUAAAAUCAAUUUCUAAUUGAAUAUACCUGGAAUGUUAUAAACUUCUUUAAAAUCCUAAUUGAAUACAUAUGGAUUUCUAAGAAUUUUAAUAAAUUAUCUUAAAAUUCUAAUUGAAUACACUUUGAAUUUCAGAGAAUCACUUAAAAUUCUGAUUGAAUACCCUAGAUUCAUCAAAAGAAUUAAAAUCCCUCAAAAUCUGAAUUGAAUACACUCCCCUUCAAUGGGUUGGAAAAAAAAUCCCUAAAAUAUAGGGACUCAUCAAAUACUUGAUGUAUAUAGCCCCAUGUAAGAAUUGAAAUGGGGGAUGGAAAAGUUGGUAAUGCAAGAAUAUCUACGUUUAGAUGCCGGUAAAAUGGCUGGGAAGUAAAUAUAUCCAUUGCAAACUGCGAGCAACAACUUGCACUUUGAAAAACAAUCUUUAUAUGUUACUGAUGUCUAUACGAAUUGUGGGUGUCAUAACAAUUUGGAAUUUAGCCAAUGGUAGUAUGUCAUUUUUCCCCCAACAUGUCAAUCCCCAGUCAGCCUUGCGAGAAUUUUUUAUUGUGACCAGAAUACGGAGAGUACAUCACAUGUUUUUAUAUAAGUGGUGAGAAAUUUUAUUUUUUAAGUUAUUAACUUUUUAACACACAUAUCCUACUAUUUAUAUAAUAACACGUGGUAUACCACCCUGUGUACCGGUCACAUUGAAAAAUUUCUCUACCCUUGCCAUCCAAUAGAUCCACCCCUUUUCCCCCACUCAUUGGUUUGGUGAUAAAAUAUUCUCUCCAUAUUUUUUUUCUUUUCCUUUGUUAUCUAUAUGCCAAAAUGGAUAUUUGUAAACAAAUAGUAAUAAAAAUUUCUAUCACUAUCAGUACUAGAAACGAAGUAAUACAUACAAAGUAACAUAUGAGAAUAAGGUGAGGCUAAGGGAGUAAAAUACCCAACACUUAGCCUCGAUGGGAACUCGGCAUGCCUGUUGAGGGAGGGGAAGUGAGGGAGGAAAGUGGAUUUGAUAUCUAAUUUCUAAUCGGAGACCGAGCAUAUGGUGGGAUGGAGAUAAUGUAUCACAGCUAAGGAGGGAGCGAGGGAAAUUAGAAGAAUGUAAAAGCAGGGAAAAAUGCCGGAUAAAGGGUAAAGCAUAUGAUAGUUGAGACUCGACUCAAGGAAAAAUGAAAUUAAUCUCAAGAAAGAGUGAGAUUAUCUAAAUUUGACCCCUUGGGUGGCGGCAACAUAGAUAAUGAGACUGAUUUGCCCUGAUAAUCAAUUAAACGAACUACAAAAGAUAAUGGAAGCACUGUGCGUCUAAUGGGAGAUUGCAUGUGAUUUUUUUUUUUUGGAAGGAAAGGAUAGUGGAUUUCAUUCAUAAAACUGUGAAACAGAGUAACAAGAGGAACUAUACAAUAGGGGAAGUAUCCGCAACUAGUAUAUAAGUGAUUUUAAAAGUAAGGAAUUUGUGAGAAUUCAAGCAAUGCUUAUCUCCUAUACUAAAUUCUUGUGGGGAAAGGAAAAAUUAUUGAUUUGAGUUUUAAUUGUAAAUAUUCUUGGAGUCAUAUUUCAGGUAGGAUUAGGAUUUGUCUAUUAUGGGCUCCAACCUCCAUCAUGGCUGCCUACUAGGGUUCAUGUCUAUAAAUAGUCAAGUCAAACAGGAAAAACGAUAAUCACCACUUACGUCUUAGAACCCUCUCAAGUUCAUAAUUUCUCUCAAACUAAUUUUUUGACUUAGGCAUCAGAGGCCCUUUGGUGUACACAUUCCCUCCUUUUUUAGGUGUUUGUCAAUUAGAUUAAUGCUGUUUCUUGUUUUGUAGGUGAAAUUUCGUCAAUUCAACUGUACGAAAUUUGAAUCCAUAGUGGUGGAGAUGAUGGUAACAUGGGUGAGGGUGUGGUUAACAAUAAUGGUGGUGGCAAUGGUGAUUAUGAGGUAGUAGGAUUGAUAAUGGUGGAGAUGGAGAAAUUUUUCAAGGAGCCGGGAACUCCACAUAAGAUUGAUAGCUGGUGUACCCGAGCAAUAAGAGAUGGACACAUGACUAUUAACAUUUUUUCUUUAAAUACAUAUGAACACGUAAUCCAAAACCAAGAAAACUUCCGACAAACGUUAAGCAUUCACCACCUCUUUCCUUUCCACCGUCGAUGGCAUCAUUGGACCCACCCCAAAUCCCGACGACAUCAUCGGAAUAAAAAGCCUCACCGGCUUCUUCCUCUUUGAAUCAGAGAAACUCUGUCAAGCUACCGCUGAUGAAGAAUACUCGUCCGUCCUCGGUUUCGUCCUUGCUCCGAUGGCCUUCCACUGCCCUUUUAUGGAGACACCAAUCAGUUGAGAAAUUAAAGGAAAAAAAAUUGCAUUUUCUUAAAAAGUCAUUGCAAUCUGCCGCCAUGUGUUCCUCUUAAAACCCAAAACAUUCAUACUAUGCAUAAAUGCAUGAAUGUUUGAAAUUGUAAAAAACCCAGCUCAAAAAAAAAAAAAAAAAAAAAAUCGAGCAAAAAGCUAAAGGGAAUUGAGAAGAUCUGUGCAGAGGCCAUGACGGCCGUUAUCUUCUCAGUUAUCGAGCCCACCGUUUUGGAAGUCACAGAAAUUGUUUUAAUUGAAAAAGAAAGCAGGCCACAUGCCUGCCUGUAGUUGGCUUGGUACUCCAGGUCAGGUUGGGUACCCGGUACCCUGAAAAAUUUCUCGUGGAGAUGAUGGAGGUGGUUGUGGUCGUGGUGGCCCAGUGAUGGGAUGGUGCUGGUGAUGAUAGGUGUAGGAUCUGGUGGCAAUGAUGCCUGGUAGUGGAAAAAUCUCUCCAAAUUCCGUAAGAUAGUGAGAGAUAUAUUAGUCAUAAUAAUUAGGGUAAAUCUCAUUUUAUUACUUUUAAGUUUCGUGGUUUUCAAUAUUUGGUACAUGAAGUUUUUUUCGUCCUAGAGUUGUGUUAAUUUUGGGAUAGUCUCGUACAUCCGUUUGUCUGGCUAUUAUUAAGUCUCUCGUUAACUGAUGAUGUGACACUCAUAUGGAUAAUGACUAAGCGUCACGUGUCAUUAAAUAGUUCACGUAAAAAUUAAAGAUUCAAAAAAAUAAUUAUAUAAAGAAAAGUAUAAAAUAAAAAAAAAAUAAAAAACCCAAAUCCCAUUUGUCUUCCCCAGAAUCCCAUCCAUGCCGACCCUCCCACUAGACCUGGCAUUUUUCACCCGACCCGUUAACCCGACCCGAUCCGACCCGACCUGUUAAAAUUAGUAUUCGGGUAGGUGAUAAACGGAUCGGGUGGUUAACGGGUCAACCCGUUAAAUAACGGGUCAUUUUGGGUGAACCGCGAAACCCGUUAACCACCCGUUAAGACCCAUUAUUGAGGACUUUUGUGUAAUUUCGUUUUCCUGGGAAUUAGGAUUUUCUCUCUGAAUCGGUGUUUGUUUCUCGGGAAAAUUGUGUGGUUUUGCAGGAGGUAAAAUGUCGACGGCCGAUUUGAUUCUGAGACCUGAGUGUGGUGGAUGUAAAACGACCAAGGAUUUAUACGGAAGCAAUUGCAAGCACUUGACUCUGUGCGACGACUGUGGCAAACAAAUGGCACUGUGCGGCGCCGUCGUCACUCGCUUAAUUCAAGUUCUCUCUCUCUCUCUCUCUCUCUCUCUCUCUCUCUCUCUCUCUCUCUAUAUAUAUAUAUAUAUGUAUAUAUAUGUAAACAUUAAUUGAUGUAUUUGUUCCGAAAUAGGAAUAUAAUGUAUAUAUAUAUGUAUAUAUAUAUACAUAUAUGUAUAUAUAUAUAUAUAUUUGAUAUGUAUUUAUAUGUAAACAUUAAUUGCCGUUUCGCGAGUAUCUUUUGGAGAUUGUGUUGCUAUAGCUAAUAACCACUAUAAACUUGUGAGUUGUUUUGUGCCCGAUUGUAUCAGCAUAUGCACACAAACCGAAUGAAGGAAGGAGGUGGCUAGCACAAGCACUAGAAUGCUAAGAACGGGUGUAAUUGAUUGGGAUGAAAUGUGUAUAAAAUAAAAAUAAAAAAAAUAAAAAAAAGGUUAACGGGUGAAACGGGUUGAAACGGAUGACCCGUUAGCUUAACGGGUUGGGUUCGGGUGACCCGUUAAGCUUAACGGGUUGGGUUCGGAUGACCCGUUAGCUUAACGGAUCGGGUUGAACCCGAUCCAAACCCAAUAAACCCGACCCGUUUACAGGUCUACCUCCCACCCCCCCCCCAACACUCUUCGAGUCGACAAGGAGGUGAAAGACAGAGAGAGAGGGGAGGGUUUCGGAAUUUCCAUUGAUGAUCGAUGUUGACAAGGAGGUGAAAGACAGAGAGAGAGGGGAGGGUUUCGGAAUUUCCAUUGAUGAUCGAUGUCGAAGAUGAAGCACCUACUGCGAAAGCUUCACAUUGGCGGCGGACUCAAUGAGCAUAUAGGGUUCUGAAUUUUCUCGCAUUUAACGACUUAGCGUGUGUGAAUUGGAAUGAAUUAGGUUUUCUGUGAACUUAGGAUCUCAAUUUCUAUGCUUCUAUGGUUUGUCAUUUUCUUUCGGGAUCAUUUUCUAGCUAGGGGGAGAUGGUACUAGUGAAUUGUGGAAUGCUUUGUAUUGCUUAUGGUGACAUUUUCGUAACAAUUUCAUGUUGAAUCAUUCUGUUAGUUAUGUAAGGUGGGUGCUUCUUGGUAGUUUCGUUACCUAAUAAUGUCGUAAGAUUGGUAAAUUCGGUACAAGGAUUUGGGUUCUCUUCGAGUGAGGGAGAGUGUUGAAAGAGAAUGAGAUAGUUGGGGAGAGAGAGUGGUGCGAGAGAAAGAGUGUUAGGGGGUGGGAGAAGGAGUUGGUGAUGGAGGGUGGGAGGGUGGCACAGGUGGGGAUUCUGGGGAAGACAAAGGGGAUUUGGGCUUUGUAUUUUUAACUUUUAUUUAAAUAAUUAUUUUUUUGAAUUUUUAAUUUUCACGUGGACCCUUAAUAAAUGUGAUGUAAGUCAUUGUUCACAUGGACGUCACGUCAUCAGUUAACGGGAGACUUAACAUCCAGACUAACAGAUGUAUGAGAUUAUCCUGAAAUUAACACCUUAGGUGACGAAAAAAACUUCAUGUAUCAAAUGUUGAAAACCACAAAACUUGAUGGUAGUAAACUGAGAUUUACCCUAAUGAUUAAGUGUCAAACUCGUCAUUUAUGUGAGUUAAAACUGAGACAUCUCAGAUACAAAUGAAGAUAAAUAUUAUGUACUUCUUCGGUAAAGUUAAGCAAGAAGUGGAUAACCCAAAUUAGAUCGUACCAUUUAUACAAAAUUUCUAACUUGUUAAUGAUCGGAGAGGAAGGGAAUAACAAACCUAAGCGAAUUAAACUCCUGUUAUUAGCUUGGGAAUUUUCUUCAUUUGAACAGUCACACAAAUAUGAUUGAUGCGAGGAGGAGGUUGUAUGUCUAUGCCUAUCAAGACAAGAAAAUAUGUCGUAUAAAAGUGAAAGCAAAUAAUUAAUAGAAAGAGAAGGAAGAAUGUGGUACACUAACUGUCAUAAAUCCAUUGUUGCCAAAAAUUGAGUUUCGCUCCGCUCGGGAAUGAAGAAGCCUGCCCAGCCAAAGCUUCUAAAGGGGAAAACUUUAAGCGGUCCAAAGUAAAGGCCAAUUUUGGUCAACGCUGAAUUAAAUCUCAUGAGAUAUCUGUUUAUUUUUUAAGUUACAAAUUUUUAGAAAAAAAUAGUUUGUUGUAGUAAUUUGUAGUUAUGGGAAAAAAGAGUAAAUUGUAGCUAGUGUUUAAAAUAUUAGUAUUGGUGGAAAUAUCGAUAGACAAAUUUGUGGAAAUAUCGAUGGAUAUAACAUAUAUCAAAUACCGAUGUUGAUUGCAUUCGAUGAAAAUGAUGGAAAUUUGCUCAAAAACAUGAAAAUUUAAAAUUAUUUUUAGGAAAUGUCAUAUGAAGCCACAACACACGUAUAAAUCAAGAAUAACGAUUAGAUACUGUGUAAACAAUAAGUAUGUGAUAUAUGUGAAGAAAAACUUCCUUAUAAUGACAAGUAAUAAAAUAAAGUAUUUCACUAGAAAGAAUAAAUUAUACAUAACUUAAUUGAAAUUAUCGUCAUGAAAUGAGCACAAGUUUUAUUGAAGUAAACUAAUACCAUAAAGAAAGAAGUUUAAAAAAAAUAAAUAAUGCAUAGGAUCAUGGAUAUUUCCUGCAAACACUGAAUAUUUCCUGAAAAUAUCGUGAAAAUUAACUGAUUUCUAAAAAUAUCGUGGAUAUGGGGUGAAGUUUUCCAUAUCGUUCCCUGAAUUUUUGGAUAUUCUCGUGGAAAUAUCGAGUAUAUCCAGGAUAUUUCAAACAUUGACUGUAGCUAGAAUAAGCUAUUUAUUUUUCAAGUUACAAAUUGAUAACCAUUUUAUUUUCAGUUUUUGUAAUCACGUUUUUUGUCACAUCCCGGCUCGGGUUCCACCAUAUCCCGGCCCCUUCCACCACCGUAGCACGAUAUUGUCCGCUUUGGGCUUACCAUUCCCUCACGAUUUUGUUUUUGGGAACUCACAAGCAACUUCCCAGUGGGUCACCCAUCCUGGGAGUGCUCUGGCCUCCUUCUCGCCUAACUUCGGAGUUUCUACGAAACCCGCAGCCAGUGAGCUCCCAAAAAGCAUCGUGCUAUGUAGGGAUGGGAAUAUACAUUUAAGAAUCACUCCCUUGGGCGAUGUGGGAUGUCACAUUUUUAAUUUGAAAGCUAAAAACUCGUUUGAUGACUACUUUUAGUUUUCAAGUUUCAAAAAAAAAUAAAAGGUCUAAUUGGAUUAUUAGUUCCCGUGGUAAUAUGAUAGUCGGAAGAUAGCCCAUGUGGUUAAAAAAUUAGGAUUUAAGCCUCUAUGGUGAAGUCUAUUAGGAUUUAAGCUCAAAAUUGAAAAUUCCGUCAACUCUCCAUUAAUUAUUAGUAUGUGAGCCACACAUAUGAGAGCAAAACAAAACUCUCUGUUAAUUGUUUGCACGUGAAGCUUACAUAUGAGGCUAACUUUAUCUUUUUAGCCUCACAUUGGGCUUCAUGUGCUAACAAUUAACGUAGAGCUUAAAAUUUUCAAUUUUGGGCCUAAAUCUCAAUAAACUUCACCACAGGACUUGCAUCCUAAUUUUUUUACCAUAUGAGCAAUUUUCCAACUACCCUAUAACCACGGAAACUGUUAAUCCAAUUAAGCUAUAAUAAAAAGUGAAAGCUACUUUUUUUAGUUUUAACACUUUGAAUUUCAGUUUUUUUCUUUUUCUUUUUAAUUUGAAAGUAAUUUACCAAACAACUAAAAUGAUUAUUAAAUGAACUCUUAAUUUUUAUUUUUGUAGUCCUCAACUACGUGUCAUUACUCAUAUUUAAAACUCUUACCAAAUUCUUUGGAUGAAAAAGAUUCGGUGAUUAUUGUAGCGCCGUUAGGUCCUUUGUCUGGCAUUAAAUCUUCAAUUGGAGUGACGGAGUAGAGAUAUCGAGCCAUAUGCCAACGACAAUUUAAAUAAGCUUUCACAACUGGGAGCGAGUUGUUUGAAUCGGGAAUGCUGAGUAAUUUUUUGUUCUUUGGUACCAUGCAUUCAGCCAUUUCGGUAAUCCCUUUACUUGCAGCAAUAGCAAGAGCUGUCCGAUCACCUAAUGUUUCUUGUAAUUCCAAGUCUUCCUCUUCCAUCAACGACACCAAUUCUUUGACAAGAUCCACAUGCCCAGCAUCAACUGCAAUGUGAAGAGCUGUCUUACCAGAAUAUGGAAUUCUUGCUCUUACUGCCUCCGGAUGUUGGUUGUGAAAAUCCUUUGCAGUUUCCCAAUCACCAGCUUGCACAGCCUCAAAGAAAGGUUUAUACUGACUAUAUUCGAAUCCUGUCAAAUUUAUCUUGUUUUGUUAUUGUUAAUUUCCUCGUAGGGUAAAUCGCCAAAAUGGUCUCUGAGAUUUGCAUAACUCAUCACUUUGGCCCCUGAGAUUCCAAAACGAUAAAAGUGGUCUCUGAGAUUUUCCACCAUCCAUCAUUUUGGUCAUUCCGUUAAAAACUCCGUUAAGUGUCCUGGAUGAAGUUUUGGCAAUUUUCAAAGCUUCGUAACUCAAUCGUUUCUUAACCAAAUUAGACCCAUAUAUAACAAAAUGAAGAUAGGAAAGUAUAGAAUAAGAUUAUACAUAUUUCAAAGCCCAAUGAUUGCCGGAGAUAGCCGGAAAAUAGCCUCAAAGUUGACUGGUCCGAGUGAAAACUUGAAAACUCGCCGGAAACUGGAUAAAAUUUAAACGUUCAUAACUUCUUCAAUACUCAACGAAAUCAAGUGAUUCAAAAAUGAAAAUCAUACUUCUCAACGAGACGAAGAGAAUGAUACCUUUUUUUUUUUUUUUUUAUGGCUAACUCGCCAUGGUUUGGCCGGAAAAUGGCUCGAAAGUAGACCAAGACAGCUACUUUCGAGCCGUUUUCGGCCAAACUACAGAGAUUUAGCCAUAAAAAAAGGUUCCAUUCUCUUUGUCUCAUCGAGAAGUAUGAUUUUUGUUUUUAAAUCACUUGAUUUCGUUGAGUAUUGAAGAAGUUAUGAACAUUUAAAGUUUACCCAGUUUCCGACGAGUUUUCAAGUUUUCACUCGAACCAGUCAACUUUGAGGCUAUUUUCCGGCCAUCUCCAGCAAUCAUUGGGCUUUUAAAUAUAUAUAAUCUUAUUCUACACUUUCCUAUCUUCAUUUUGAUAUAUUAUGAGUCUAAUUUGGUUAAGAAACGAUUGAGUUACGAAGCUUUGAAAAUUGCCCAAACUUCCUCUAGAACACUUAACGGAGUUUUUAACGGAACCAAAAUGAUGGAUAGUGGAAAAUCUCACUUUUAUCGUUUUGGAAUCUCAGGGACCAAAGUAAUGAGUUAUGAAAAUCUCAGGGACCAUUGUGGCGAUUUACCGUUUCUCCAUACUUCAGUUUUAUGCAUGAACAUUUCUGUAGUUAAACUUCAAUAUUAGAAACGAUGGAAGAUAAUGUUAUGGGUUCCUUGUUAUUUAACUUUUUAAUCAAGUUAUAUGGAAUUAUAUGAUAAUUAUAUAUAAUUAUAUGGGAUCAUUGUAAUUUUUUUUUAGAACAAACGAUAUUAUCUUCAUUAAAGGGAUAGGUGGGCUUAGCCUUACAAUAAGUUAGCAAUAAUGUGAUUCAAAUUCGUCUUUAGUGAUAAUCGAAUCUAAGACCUCUCAUUAGAAAUGAAGAGGAUCAUUGUAAUUAACACUCCAAAGUAUUGAAAUAGAGCACUAUGUUUGUUUAAUCACAAAGAAAACCAAGAAAUUGUUCAUGCCAUUAAUUACAGCACUGAUAUGUAAAUGCACAUGAAUGUGAAUAUGGUUACAACUAUAUGAAUAUGGUUACAACUAUAUGAAAUUUAUGGUAAAAUUAGACAUUAUAUGUCCUUGAGAUCAUUUACAUUUUACUACAAUGCUCAUGGUAUGGUAUCUCCAUGAAUAUGAAUAUGGUUACAAAUAUAUGAAAUUUGUGGUAAAAUUAGACAUUAUAUAGUAAUAAUGUUAUGACCAAACCAAUUUUAUAAGUAUAGGAAGAUUAUUACUCAAUAAAGGUGUAUUUAAAAAAUAAAAAAGACUUAGUUAUCCUUAAUGAAAGGUAAUAUUUAAUAUAAUUACCUAAUUAAAUGUGUUGGAUUGGAUUUUUCUGUUGAUGUUGUUCUCGUUUGAAUUAAGUUAUGUAUUAUGUGAAGAUUAUAUGAAUUGUAGAUUACUGGGAUAAGAUUCAGUAAAAAAAAUUAGUGGGAUUAUGACUCCUUGAGUCUCUUAUCUGUGUAAAAGAUGAACAUGUUAUAUAGUAUUUAAUCAUUUAAUUUUUAUUAAUACAUGUAUUGUGGUUUGAUAUGACAUACCUUAAAGUGUAAUUUCAAAUUUCCACGUUUUUUUGGCAAAUUUUCAUCAUUUUCGUUGAAGGCAACUGAUAUUGAUAUUAAUAUAUCUAUUGAUAUCUCUAUAAAUUUGAGUAUCGAUAUUUCUACCGAUAUCAAUAUUUAAACACUGAAUGAUACACAAAUGUAGUAUAAAAAUAAGUACCGUGGUCUCCGGAACACACCUGUGCUUGUAUUGGACACUGAUGGAUGUAACACGCGUGACAUGGCCGCCCAAACACCUUGUGCCAUGGUCUCCCAAACACCCUUUGCCAUGUUCAACCUGUGAUCCCGUUGGAGCAUAUCAUAUUCUAAAUAAACAAAAAAUUAGCAAUGGAAUUAAAGUAGUCUAAUUACUACUUACGUAUUGAAAUGGAUCGAAGCCAACAAACUGCAGCUAGCCAGUUAUUAAAAACUAGUAAGUAUGCAAAUAAGCAACGAAAUGCUUCCCGCGGGGGGGGGGGAGGAAGGUGUGGUUUGUGGGGUGGGAAUUAUGGCGGAGGCAGGUGAUGGAGUCGAUUAUUGGGAGUGAUGUUAUGGAGGUUGGCAUUAGAUUGGUGGUGGAAUCGGAUUCGAAGGGAUUGAUUCAGAUGCUUAACAAGGAGGUCACGGCUGAUGUGACUUUAGAAAUUUAUCUCCAAGACAUUUGGAGGAUGGUGAGCUUAUUCCAGUUGGUAAGGUUCUCUUUACCCCUCAGCAAUGCAAUCGUGCAGCCCAUUUGGUGGAGAUGUACAUCGUUAAGCAUGGCGGGAGAUUUGGUUGGGAUAAGUUAGGUCCAGAGUUUCUUUUUAAUAUUUUAGCAAAAGAUGCAAAUGUACCUGUUCAUAUUUAAUUCAAUAAAAUUCUCUCUUUCGACAACAAAAAAUAAAUAAAUAAAUCCUUGCAUUGGCAAACUAAUAAAGAUGAACUGGACACGCAAACCUCCACUUAAUCUUGGUAUCAUAUUCCUACCUAAAAGGUCGAAGGAGUAAUCGAAUGUAACCAAUACAAAAGAAUAAAAUAAAAAGGAGCAAUAUUCACGCUUAGAAUUUAGAAAGUCAGGAAAGAAAGAAAAGGAGGUGACUUGAGUCCAGAGACUUCACGAUUAUGCAUUUAGUUAGACCCAGAAGUUUCUGACACGACACGAAAACGAUACAAAAAUAACGGGUUUCAUGUCAAUACGAUAACUAAUCGGAUCAUUAUCAGAUGACCAGUUAAUAACGGAUUUUUAAUAGGUAUACACAUGGGUAACCCAUUUCGACCCGUUAAGAAAAAAAAUAUUUUGAUAAUUUUAAAGUUUAAUUACUAAAAGAUUUAUUAUAAAAUACAAUAGCCAUAUUAAUAUACAAUAUAUUCUAUAUUAAAUAUAUAGUUUUGUAUUAUUAUUCUAUAUAGUUAAAAAAAAUGUUUUAGUCAUUAUUUAUUUUUAUUAUGAGAGUUCUUUAUUAUCAUUACUAGGAUAAAUUUUACUUAACAUGUUGUUGUCCAAAAUUAAAAUAAACUAGUAUAGUAUUUGUAUAGGUAAGAACUAAGAAGACAUACAUACAAGUAUGAAAAAUGUGAAAGAAUAUAUAAACACUCGUGAUUCAUGAUUAUUCCUCAACAAGUAGAUAAUGAUUACACUCACAUUAUCGUUUAGAUUUUUAAAAUCCUCCAAACCCUCAUGAAUAAUGUUUUUUAUUUGAGGGAAAAAUUAAUAAAAUUAAUAAUAAUUAUUGUAGAAGUGUAAAAAAUGUAAAAAAAAAAAUACAAUCACUCAUAGUGACAAGCUUUACAACUUUCAUGAAGGGGUCAGUUUCGAAAUACAACAAUAUAAUCCAUAAACUUUAAAUUUAUAUUUAACCGGCAAUUGUCAUUUACGCUUUAUUCUUCUUUCUGAAUUUUAUUUUUAAAAUUUUAUUUUUUUGAAAACAUGAUCAUCUGGCGGAUGUAAGAAGAUGAAAGGUUCAGAUCUUUGAUAUCACGUUUCGAUAUUUACAGUUAACUAAAAUAUGAGUCGAUGUCAUAUAGUUUAUAGAAACUUUAUAAACAUCAAGCAAUAUUUUCACUAACCGUAAAACUCUGAAUAUAAUAUCAACGAUCCAAACCAUUCAUCUUCAUGUAUCCUCUAAUAGAUCAUGUUUUCUAAAAAGAAAAUAUGAAAAAGCAAAUGUUGAUGAGAACAAUGAAGCGUAAAUCUGAAUAUUUUCACUAAUCGUAAAACUCUGAAUAUAAUAUCAACGAUCCAAACCGUUCAUCUUCCUGCAUCCUCUAAUAGAUCAUGUUUUCUAAAAAGAAAAUCUGAAAAAGCAAAUGUUGAUGAGAACAAUGAAGCGUAAAUGUAAACAACAAUCAACGGUUAAAUUUUGAUCUAUGAUUUAUAUGAUUAUAGUGGUAAAUUUCAAAGUUAAGCUUUUCAUGAAAGUUGUAAAGCUUGUCAUUACGAGCGUUUAUAUAUAUUUUUUUCUAUAUUUUUUACACUUCUACAUUAAUUAAAAAACUAUUAAAGACUUUACUUAAAUAACAAUCAUAAGAUAAAUGAGAGUAAAUCUGUACCGUUAGAUUCUAUUUCACUUAUAUUAUUAGAACUUUUUUGGAUGAAAAAAUCCCUUCUUUAUUCCAAUAUUUUCCAAUUUUACCAUUUGAUCAAUUUAGGUAAGCGAAAAUAUACUUAAAAGAAAAAUGCAUUUUUAUGCUUUGGAUGUGAUAAUAUGGUAUGUAUAUACUUAUUUAGUAUUAUGUUUUUCAUUUGAUUAUUUAUUGGUUUAAAAUAUAUAUAUUUUUAAUGGGUAACGGAUCGGGUCAUAUUACCCGUUAAUAUUAUCAGGUCGAUUUUGGGUGUCAUUUUACCCGUUUAUUUUAAUGGGUGUUACACGAUACGACCUGUUAAGAUAUCGGGUAUGACACGAACACAUAAAACACAACACGAAUGUCAGGUCUUCAUUUAGUAUUCUUGGGGUUAUUGGCAAUCUGUUUGUUAGUGAUCAAUGUAUGGUUAUUUUAUUUUUAGAUUUGAUAUUAAAAAUAGAGAAUAAAUGGAUAUGCGUUUAGUGUUUUAGCAUCUAUUCUCAUUUUCAAAUCUAAAGGGGAGUGACCAAGAGUCAAGUGAAUUGAACACGAAAUCGAAGUUUGGAGGUACCACAUGAGGAAUGGCAUAUUACACAGCUAGUCAAACCAUAAGACAAUUUUCAGUGGGUUUUGAUUUAUUUAAAGAAAUAUAUUUAAAGUUGGAUCUACACUCAACGUUGUAUUGGCUAGAGUAUAUUUAUCAAAUGGUCUAAUCGGAUAAAUGGUCCCCGUGGUCAUAAGGUAUUCGAAUGAUAGCCCAUGUGGUAAAAAAAUUCAGAUUUAAACCCCUGUGGUCUAAGUCUGUUAGAAUUUAUGCCAUUCUGUUAAAUAAUGCUGACGUGGCUGCCACACAUAUGCCACGUGGAUGCCAAAUGUCUGCCACGUGACAAAAUAAUAAUUUUUAAUUUUUUUUUUUAAAAACCUGAAUUAAAAAAAAAAAAAAAAACACACAGAACCUCCCCCCGCCCUCCGCCCGUCCCCCCCCGCGCCGUUCUUCUCCUUCUUCUUCCCGCCGGUCUCCCCGCGCGACUCCUUCUUCUUCUUCUUCUUCUUCUUCUUCUUCUUCUUCUUCUUCUUCUUCUUCUUCUUCUUCUUCUUCUUCUUCUUCUUCUUCUUCUUCUUCUUCUUCUUCUUCUUCUUCUUCUUCUUCUUCUUCUUCCCGCCGGAGCCCUCUCCCCGCGCCCUCCUCCCUCUCCCUCUUCCUUCUUCUUCUUCUUGCAGAUCUGCGUUUUUUUUUUGUAAAAAUUCAGGUUUUUUAAAAAAAAAUUAAAAAUUAUUAUUUUUGCCACGUGGCAGACAUUUAGCAGCCACGUGGCAUACAUGUGUCAGCCACGUCAGCAUUAUUUAACAGAAGGGCAUAAAUCCUAACAGACUUAGACCACAGGGGUUUAAAUCCGAAUUUUUUUACCACAGGGGCUAUCAUCUGAAUACCUUAUGACCACGGGGACCAUUUAUCCAAUUAGGCCUUUAUCAAAUUGACGGUACGACCAAAAUAAAACCCGACUUCCCGCCGGAGCCCUCUCCCCGCGCCCUUCUCCCUCUCCCUCUUCCUUCUUCUUCUUCUUGCAGAUCUGCGUUUUUUUUUUUUUUGUAAAAAUUCAGGUUUUUUUAAAAAAAAUUAAAAAUUAUUAUUUUUGCCACGUGGCAGACAUUUGGCAGCCACGUGGCAUACAUGUGUCAGCCACGUCAGUAUUAUUUAACAGAAGGGCAUAAAUCCUAACAGACUUAGACCACAGGGGUUUAAAUCCGAAUUUUUUUACCACAGGGGCUAUCAUCCGAAUACCUUAUGAUCACGGGGACCAUUUAUCCAAUUAGGCCUUUAUCAAAUUGACGGUACGACCAAAAUAAAACUCGACUCGGCCUGUAGGUUUGGGUUGGCUAGGCCAAAAAAUUUCAGCCCAACAACCUUUAAUGUAGUGGUUGUCAAAUGUUGCUUAAUUAUGUAGAGAAAGUAAUUUGAAGAGUGUGAAUAUAACAUCUUUAAGAAAAAAAUAUUGUUUCACACGUGUUAGUGUUCGUUAUUGAGUGAUCGCUCCCUAUUUGGCUAGAAGAUGCGGUCUCGAGGCUUCCUCUCACCAAGCUAACAAGACGAGAUCGACACUUUUCUCAAUUACUAAUAACGUAUUUUCAUGCGUAUAACUUUAUCACAUCCCAAUGAAUUAUUGAUAUGAAAUAUUUUGCCACGGCAAAGACACCAAAUGUAAGUCAAUCUAAAAAAAUAUAGCAUAUUAUAUAAUUAAAAGUAAUCCUAUUUAGUUAACAUUGAUCAAAUAUUUACACCAUAUCAAACACGGUAUAUCUUCAAUAUCCAUCAAUGUAAAUUAAUAGGAUUUGGAUCCUCUCAUGAGCCAAUGGAGAGGAUCCUUCUGACCAAGCAUUGUGGGCCGUUGGAUGAAAAUUCAACAGAUAUAAACAGGGGGUCCCUUUAAAGUUAUAAUAAACAAGGGGUUCCUUUAAAGUUAUAAUAAUUAUAGCUGUUAGAUGAAAAUCUAACGGUCCACAAUGCUUGAUCAGGAGGAUCAUUUCCAUUGACUCAGGUAAGGAUCCAAAUCCAAAUUAAUAUACGCUACCAACCAAUCACAACUCCUAGCAAAUAUUGUCAACAGGAUAAAGUACAUACCAAUAAUUGCCAUCGUCGUUUGUGAGUUUGUCAGGCAAGAUUCGAAAGGUUGCUAAGUUCAUAAUUUAGAGUAAAUUAUAAUAAUAAUCCAUCAACUUUAAUUCAAUUAGAAAAAUGGUCCAUCAACUUUAACUCAAUUGAAAAAAUGGUCUCUUAAUUAAAAAUUUAUUACAAUUGGUCCCUCAACUCAUCAAAAUGUGUAACUAUAGUCUAUCAACUAAAAAUUUAUUUCCAAUGAUCCCUCAACUUUAAUCCAACUGGAGAAAUGAUCCUUCAACUUUAAUCCAAUUGGAGAAAUGAUCCAUCAACUAAAAAUCCAUUUCCAAUGGUCCCUCAACUUUAAUCCAACUGGAGAAAUGAUCCAUCAACUUUAACCCAAUUGGAGAAAUGAUUAUUCAAUUUUAAGCUAAUUGUAGCAACGGUCAUUCCAACAUAACUCAUUUUAACAAAAUUCUGACAAAGUUAAUAAAAAUGACCAUAGCUAUACAUUUUGAUAAGUUGAAGGACCAAUGGUAAUAGAUUUUUAGUUGAGGGACCAUUGCUCCAAUUUAAUUAAAGUUGAAGAACCAUUACUACAAUUUACUUUAUAAUUUAACAUCUCAAUUUUAUAACCAUCUAAGAAAAAAAUGGACGGUCGAAAACAAAAGUGGUGACAUGUGACACAAAAUCUUAGGCCAAAACCCAAAUACCACGUGUCACUCUUCCAUUGAUGCAUCCACCGUUACGUGACGUUUAAUGACGUCCACUUGUUUAAAUACUGGCGAUUUCUGCAGAUUUUUUGGUGCUCCUUUCCUUCCGUCAAAUUAUAUUAUACAUAUACUAAAACCCAAACUCGGGUGGCACUGUUUUUCACUGUUCGUGAACAGUGUUUGGUCGGAAAUGCCCUCGGUUUCUUCUUUGUUCUGCUUACUGUUUCCACUUUCUACAGUGGAAAGUCGGUUGUGCCCUUCUGCGUCUUUCAUCGUUUCUUUCUCUGCUUUAACCGCAACGUUUUUACUUUACCUUUUCUCUUCGUUUUUUCAUCUCCGUUGCUCUGCAAUUUUCUCCUUCAUCGCUCCCUCUUUUGCUGCCAAAUCUUUUGCUCUUUCUUCGCAAAAUAGUCUCAAAAGAGAUCCUGACUUUAAUUUUAUUGGGGAUUUGGUUUCCGGUCUUCUCUGGUGUUGGACCCUUUGUUUGAUUUUAUUGGCUGUUUUGUUUCCGGUCUUCUCCGUUGUCGAACCCUUUGUUGGUCAGCGUUUUGUUCUCAUCUUGCCAUCGUUGGGAUCAAAAUUUGAAGGUCAGUUUGUUUUCAACGUUUUAUCUUUAUUUUUUGAUCUCUAGGGUAAGAAAUUUAAGCUCUUUGUUUAUUUUUUUAUUUUUUUUUUACGGAUCUGGAGGUUGGGACAAAUUUUUUGUCAAAUUGAAGGCUGAUCAUGUGCUACCUCUUCAGAUUAUUGAUAAAGAAAUUAUAUUGAGCUUAGCUAUGUUUAAAACAACUAUGUGCAAUUUUUUAUUCUUAGUUUGUGUUUAUUUGAAAGGAGCCUUGCCAAAUUGGUUUUAUCUGUUGUGUUUACGAUGGUUCUAAUAAAUUGGUUUUCCAUGUGAGUAAUUUUUUGGUCCAGAAUUGUAUAUGUUUGGAAGAAAGUCUGAUAUAAGUUGAGUUGGUAAUGUUUUUUCGCUUUGCUUCUGAUUGGUGUGUGUGGUUGCUUCAGAUCUUGAUCGUUUUUUAAGAACGGAGACUCGAUUUGUUCUUAUUGGUGUGUGUGGUUACUUCAGAUUUUAAUCGUUUUUUAAGAAGAGAAACUCAGUGUGCUUUCCACUUAUUUUAUGGAGUUGUCUUCGUUAUUGGUUUGAGUCAGUAAUGAGCGAGGAAAAAGCUUUGAAAAGGAAAGUAUUCAAAAUUAGUUAAGGGUUUUACAAAAAUUUAAAAGCUUAAAUACUUAAAUACAGCUUUCUUUAGAUUAGUAUGCAGAAAUCAAAAGGCUUUGAAAGGCACAUUGUUUAAAAUCAUUUGAAGCUUUUACAAAGGUUUGAGAGCUUCAGUGAUUAAUUAGUGCUUAGUUAUGAAUUCAACCAUAUGUUUAGUUAAAUUAAACAAUGAUGUAAUGUUGAAUUAAGGUGUGUGAUUCAAUUACCAUUGUGAAGAUUAGCACUUUUUAUAUUGGGGAUUAAGAACAUUGAUGGUGGCAAUUUUUCUGAAUGGUGAGGUAUUUCGUUUGCUUUCGUUGUCAAAUAGUGUUCUCACAUGGGUGGAGAACAAUACAUAUAUUUUAUAUGGUAGAUCAAUAACAAACACUCUGUUUGGUUCUAAUUUUUGGAUAAUUUGGUAUUAUUCCAGAGAUAAUGCAGACAAGAAACUGUUAACUCUUAUUUAUUAAAUAGAUGUAUCGAAUAUGUUUUGCAUGGCAAAGAUCAUAUCUGUUUGGUUAAUGAUACAACUAUUCCAGCUUUUCUUAAUUGAGUGGAGUGUAUUGCAGGUCAUUAGGCUCCUUUUGCUUCCAAAGUUUUUGAACCUGACCGAAGUCAGUUUGCUGAAUCGCUUUUGCGUGUUAGUGAUGUAUGAUUUUCUUUUUUGCACAAUCAUGAUGAAAAACUGAAUUUGACUUAUUUGAUUUUGGGUUUUUGUUGUUCCUGUUGCUAAUUUUGUGUUUUUUUUUCCAGUUUUUUUUGGCAGUGAAAUCAUCGCUGCCACCUAACAAAUCUAGUUGCUGUAAUAUCAAUUGUUAUUGUUGGAGGGAGGUAAAGUUACUAUCUUGCUUUAUAAAGUGUAGGAUUUUUUAUUUUUUUUUUGUAUUUUUUUUUCUUUGUUUCUUUCUUUGGCUUCUCUAAAAUUCUGUUGGUAUAAUAGUUCAUUUUUUUUUCUGUGGCUUUGUACAAUAGUGUGUCGUGUUGAAACACACUGUUCAUUAUUGGUUAUAGUUAUUUGUUCUGUUUUCACACUUUUUUCAUACAAAAUGUUUAAUUGCUGACUCAUUCCUCUUUAAUGCCAUGUUAAAUUGUUUUGAAACUAAUAACGAGAUAAACAAACUCAGACAAUAUUAAGACUGCUCAGUGUCUGCUGUUCAUUGAAUAAGUGUUGAUAAUAUUGAUCCAGCGUAAAUUUUAUUCUUACACCAGUCUUAAUACUCAUUGAGAAAACCGUUUGGUGAUAAUCUAAGUAUUAAACAAGCAGAUACAGUUUUGGCAUCAAUUUCAAUUAUUGUAUUUAUUUUCUAUUUGGCCAAUUCAUGAUUUCUUUGGUUGAUAAAAGGAUGAAAGCAAAGAAGAUGCACAUUUUUAUCAGUUGUUAUAUUAAUUUAUUAUUUUUUUUAUUAAAUUUGUAAUUCCAUUGUCCAGAGUGACUUCAAAACAAGGUUUAAAUUUUUUAAUAACAAACGGAGAAAAUAAUGUUGACAAUUAUACUUUGAAUAUAGUGUUUAAAGAUUUCUUACAAAUUUAUAAUUACGUGCUUCGCUUUAUGACCUCAUAGGUAAAAAAAUUUAUAUUUAUUUAAAUAUAAUUGAAUAACAUGUACAAUGCUAUUUAUCUAUAAUUUUCUGAUUACUGCUAAACAUAAUCAAUGUCUUCUUUUUGUAUAUGCAGAAUGAAAAACAGAUUCUUUGCAAGCAUCACACAAAGGCCAUCAUUUAUUCUGUAUGAAGACCACAGGUUAAUUCAGUCUUAAUUGAUUUUUUAUUUAUUUAAUACAAAACGUAUUAAAUAAUAUAUCCAUUUCUAUAUUCAUUUUGUCACGAUGCUGUUCUAGCAUCUAUUUCUGCUUUUCAAGUUUUCCAUUGUGAAAUUACAAUAUUGGUAUUUGAUUUUCGUAUUUGAUAAACUGUUCACGUCCCAUUGGUUCUGUUAUAGAAACUUGCACAUUUUCACAGGUUCUGUAUAACAAACAUAUCUAUAUGUAUUUAUUUCUUUGAUUGAAUUGUUUUAUUUUCAGAUUUGUAGCCAAUGAUCUUUUACCGAUUGUCUAAGAGCUUCCAUAGGACUUGCUCUGUGCUAUUCCUUUGCGGUAACCUCCAUUAGGGAUGAAAAAGCUACAAACGACAUUGUAAGUCUCAAAAGGUUUAAGAAAUUUUAAAUCUUUUCAUCACAUGGUUUUCAAAAUUUUCAUUAUGUUUGAAUUUGUAUCUGAUUUCAUAUUCUAGCGAGUUCAUCGUUGAUUUGUCAUCUUUGUCAUAUGAAAUGAUAGAGAACAGUUUUCUAGAUGCAAUGUUCAUUUAUUCUUAAUCAUAAAUUUAAUUUAAUUUUGUAGGUUCACCUUUUUCCAAAAGAAAAUUAAUCUGAAAAUCCAACUGAGGUGUAAAUCCCUGCGUUUACUUAACGUUUAUAAUUCAUCCUUCCCCACCCUGUAUCCCAAAUUACAAUUGAAGACUUCAACGGUAUGUACCAACAAUUCAAGCUUUAUUCCCUUUUUUUACUUAAUAUUUUAAUUUUACAUUCAAUCUUUACUAACAUUUUUUCUCAGGAGAAUUGGUUGUUACCAAUAUACAUAAUGACUAUCUUCUUUUGACUUACUCUAGAAUACAUGACUAAUCCCUUCCCUGAUCACUGAGAAGUUUACUUCAAUAUCUAAAAGUAUUAGCCAAGACGUUCCCAUUACAAAUAUACCAUGUCCACAUGGCUUAAUUCAACAAAAAAACAUUUGGUAAUAGAUAAAUUGUUAAAUAUAUUUAUAUAUCAUUUUUAUUGGUUAUUGGCUCCAUUUAACAAUUCCUCUAUUUCUAAAAUCUUCUUUCAUUUAGUUAAAGCAUGUGAAACAAUUACAUCUUUGGUUAGACCAUCUUUGUUUAUACUUUUAGACAUCCAUCUUAAACCCCUCAGUGAUUAGCACAGUCAUUAGCCAUGUAUUACAACUAAGCCAAUAGAAGAAAGUCUUUACCUACAAAUUGGUAACAAUUGAUUCUUCUGAGAAGAUGAUCGUUUGUCCGAAUUAUGCAAGUUGAAAUAACUUAGCAACUUAUACCUCUGUACUAUAUAGAACAGCGAACUAAACGUAUUUGGUCCAUUUUUGUAUACCGUCUCCUAUUUUUACAAAAAAAAUUUAUACAAAAUUGACUGUUAAUUAACAAUAUAAUUAUUCAAUUUGAUCACACAAUGCUUUUGACACACCCCGUCCCGAAGGAGGGCAUGCUGGCCGUCACGUGGGAGUGACGUAACCAUUUACACAGUACGGAAGCUUUAAAUUUACAACUCCUAAAAUGAUACACCCGAAGGUGAGUCCUAAUUUUGUCCAUUCUGUCAGAACACCUUGAAUUCCUCGUAGUCACCACACAUCAGCAAUCUUGAACCUGGAGGGGCGCAAAACCAAAUUAAGUGGGUCAGUAAAACAAAUCUUUUCCAAAUCCAAACAUUUCCCAAAACGUUGUAACCCCUCUCCGUAAAACUUGUAUACUUUCCCAGAAAUGUAAAAUAUCAAUAUAUAUAUAUAUUCUCAAAACUUCAAAUCACUAUCUCAACAUUUUUCAUUACAAUUAUGCCAUGCCAUGUCUAAAUUCAACAGUAUAAUAUGAAUGCAUCAACAUAAAUCAGGUGAAAGAAAAUAAUCAACCGGAGACCCUACAAUGGUCCUGUACGGCUGAAUGUAGAGCUCAAAAUCUCAUCUAACCGGAGUCACCAACUGUGACCUGUACGGCCAUGCCGAAGUCACCUAGUAUGACCUGUACGGCACUACACUGCACAUAAGUCGGAAUUACCUAAUGUAAUCUGUACGACUUAAUGGUGUAAUAAUAUGCUCUAGUGCUUUUCUCAUCAAUCAUUUGUGCACAUAAUCUAAGGUCACCUACCAGUCGGAACCCCUGUAAUGGUCUGUACGACUGGCAUGUCGGAACCACCCCCGGUGAUCUGUACGACUAGCAUCUACUUGGAUCCAAGGUGAGCAUACGAUGCAGGGUGAAUAAUAUAAGCACUAAUACCAAGUUGCAGUUUAUGAGCUCAACAUAUCUCAACAUCAUCAUAACAAUAAUAAUACUCACCUGUGCGUCCACCGCACCAUUUCACAUAUAUGCAUCAUACAACAAUUCAUAAUAUUCAUGAAAUUCUAUGCAUGGCAACCAACUAUAUUCCAUAUCACAAUUCAACAUACUUUUCAUUUAAGUUGAUUUCUGGGGAAAUCGGGUAUAUAGGUAUAUAUAUAGAAAGCAAUGCCCACUCACCUGGAGUUCGUCCAACAACUCCCUAGCACCACACAUCAAGGCGUCAUGACGAUCGCCGCCUAGAACAGUAAUCAAAUCCAGCCUCAGAAUUCAUAUCGAUAGAAUAUAUAACUUAUAUAAAAUACGUCACUACGUAGAUCGAUCCGGAAGAUCUGCCACUCAGAUUUUAAAUCCAUAACUUCCAGAGGUCCACAAUAUAUCUCUAGGACAACAUCCUAAAAUUUCAUCACCAUCCAACGGUCGGAUCUCCGUCAAUUAACAAAACUAAGUGACGAUUUACAUUCUAUUUUAUGAACUUACAACUCCAAUUCCGGAAGAUCCGUAAAUCGGAUUCCCAAUCCGUAAGUUCCUAUAAUCCUCAAAUAUUACGUAUUACAACGUAUCAAAGUUUGGUGACGAUCCAACGGUCGGAUCGUCAAUUCAUAUUUUCACCUAAAUGCAAAAACUAUAAAACGUUAUUUGAACACCUAACCAACAAUCCUUAAUAACUUUCUCAUACGGUGCUCAAUUUGGGUAUAUGAAUAUACCACAUUGACCUACUCGACGUCACGGACGUCGAAAAAUUUUUAAAAUAAUUUUUUACUGUAGCACGCGCCCCCACGCGCCAAGGAAGGCACGGGUCCACGCGCGCCCACGCGCACCUUCUUCCUCGCGAGUUCGCCGGACUGGUUUUUCUCCGGUGGCCAGAUUCUGGGAAAUUUUCAAAUGCCUCGUUCUCCUUCGUUUCUCACCCAUUUUCUUCGUAUAAUAUAUCAAAAUGAAGCCCCAAACAUGUAGAAUCACAAUAGACUACUUUUAAGCUUCAAAAACAACUAAAUCUCACCGGAAAAGUCGAAGCAAAACCGGCCAAACUUGCAGCUCGUGAUCCCGACGUCCAAUUCCUUCAAACGAAGCACUCCGAGCUUCCUUGGGACCUCACUAAGCUCACUGUGAGCUUGAAAUUCCCUGAAACAUCAAGAUUUACGUGUGCAUGAACAGUGCACUUUCACGGGGAGUUUAGAAUCUAGGUUUUCCGAAGUAAAACUUACCUGAAAUUGGUGUCUACGUGAUCGUGGAGGUUCCAGGAGUUCGAUGGUGGUCUUAACUCCGUCGUUGGUAGAAGUUUAGGGUGGUUUUGGAGUUUGUCCGUGUGAGUUCGAAGGAGAGAGACAGAGAAUGAGAGAUUGUGAGGGAGGAGAGAGAGACAGGGUACGGGAAAGAGGGAGAGAAUUGAGGGGUGUGGGAUCCUACCCAAUCCCCAACUACAAAUUCUAACAUAAAAUUUAAGUCUAAGUCUCCACUCUACUUACCAAAUUUUAGGAGCUUAGAUAUAACGAACGUAAAAAUUAUACCUUAGUCACGUAUUGGGGCAUUUUUGUAAUUUCAUGUCCUCGGAAUUAAAAAUUUCGGGACGGGCUGUGACAGCUUUAGUUCUAGGUUUUUUUUUUUUUCCCAAAGGUGCACCAAUAUAAGACUUUCGAUUAAACACCAACAUGAUUACGUUUGUGAUAAGACUGCAAUUAUACAAUUAGUAUUCGCUAAAUAUUACUUUUGAUAUAUGAGGUUCCUGAAAAAGAGAACGGAAGCAUAUUGUUAGCUUAGAUUUAUAUUUCUUAUUACUUUCAUGCAGAUUUUGAUUCCUGACAUUUUCGGUUCUAAAAACAAUUUGAUGCAUAAGAAUUUAUUCAUGCUUACUGUUAUUUUACAGCAUAACCCGUUAUUCUGUAAAGCAUCGCCUCCAAUCAUCAUUCAUUUGAAGGUACACCAUUCUAACACUAUCUUUUAUUUGCUUUGAUAAAAUUAUUUCUCAGCUGUUUAACUUAUAAACAAUGACAAUAUUAUUUCUUCCCUUGGUUAAAUAUUAAAUACCUAAACACUUUCCUGCGUGUUAACUGUCAAUUUACACACUUAACAACCCUUCACAAGCUCACAUUUGAAUCAACAUUUUUUCACACCGUACAACACAACUUUAACCCUUGAAUUACAAAUACAUUGUUUCUUACAAUUGCCCUCUUACUAGAACAAAACUGUACCAUUUGUUAUUUCUAUAUGUUUAUUCCUUCCUGUAAAUACGAUGAAGACACAUACAUGUUUGUAAAACUUUCUGCAAAUUUUAUGCAUUCACUUUUAAAACCCGCGGCAACGCGCGGGCACAAUUGCUAGUAUAUACUAAACGCCUAACAUUGUGGUUAAUUCCCUUUGUAUCCUUUUUACUGUUCAUUCACCAGUGUUCUUCCUUUUUUGCCCUUUCUUUGUUUCUGUCAUCACUGUUCAUUCUACAGUAGAAUGGCAUUUUCGUCCCUGCAGUGCAACAGGGGUUCUUUUAUUACGGUUGUGCCUGAAAUUGAAGGAGCGGAAAAACUAGGUUGUUCGGGAGACUUCUGUCUUUUGAUUUUGUCACCUGGCGGCUUAGCAUAGUGACACGUGUUGAUUGGGACGCGUGUCACUUUACCCAUCUCCUCUUUCUUUGCUUUUGCUUUUGCUUUGCUUUAGUUUUUUGUCUCCUCUUCCAGACUCCUCCCUUUUCCAUCGCGCUCUUCGAUCUCUGCUUUGUGUUCUUCGAUAUUUGCUUCGUGAUCUCUUCCAUCUCUGCUUUCUCCGUGAUUUCGUCUUUUCUGAUCGACUUCUAUUCGAAUUGAAAACCUUCUAGAUCUCUCUUCCCUAAAUUUCAGCAGCAAUUUUGCUCCAAAUCUUUCCAAUUGAAAAAACCCACAUCAUCAUCAUCUAUUCCUCAUCACCACAGGUACUUUCUACACCUAUUAUAUGUCCAAAUCUGUUCAAGUAUGUGAUUUGAUAUAAUUAGACUUCAGAAAAAACUUGAUUUUGUGGGUUAGAAAAAAUUUCGCUAAUUUUCUGGGUUCAUCCUCAUCACCAUCGACGCGGGCAAAGCUUCCCAAUUUGACCUCUUUCCGGAUUUUUCUAACCCAUCGUUUGGUUUCCGAGAGAAAAUAAUAAUUUAAUUAGAAAAACGUUUUUUUUUUGUUUUUUGCUUUGCUUUGAUGCAGAGAUUAAAGGCACAGAAGGAACCGUGUGCGCCGAAGGGUUCUUCAACAUUAAGAUUCAGAUACCCGAGGUUGGGUCAAGGAUUUUGCCUCUGAACUCAAUUCAGGUACACAUAGUCUUUCUCUACUUUGAUUCUCUCAUUAGUUCUUCGCUUGGGCACCGACAAAGUGUCAAACAUGAAAUUAUUGAAUUAGUUCGCAUGUUAUUUUCCACUACCUGAGCAACUGACGGAAAUCUAGGCCUGCCAUAUAACUAAUUGACUUCAAAUCUCAUCAAACAUCCUCAAUUUUUAUUUGUUUGUGGUUUAUCCACCCCCCUCCAUGUAUUUUAUUGACAUUUUUAGUUGAUCUGAAAAACAUGACAAAAAUCUUUACAAUUACGAUAUGUUGUUUAACAAAUGCAUGUGUGCAUUGUGCAAUUGUGUGGUGUAGAGCAUAAAAUUUCAUAUACUUCUCUAAAAAUUGGAUUCUUAUCGUUUCUCACAGGUGCCACACCCUCAUAUAUCAGUAGCUUGGCCAUUACCAAAAAAAAAAAAAAAAAAAAACUGGCGCUUUUGCUUGCCACUCAGGUUUGUCUCGAAAUUAGGUUGUUUUUUGUUCCGAUUUUUGUCCUUCAGUCAUGUUGUGUUUAUCCGUUUUUUAAUUGUUGAUACAGGGCUUGCAGAAAAAUUGUGAAAAACUGCAUUAAGGUACUCCCCCAAUGAAAUCGGCAAUCACCUGUUCACCCAAGGUCUCCCCCUAUUUCUCUUUCUCCUCACUUUCUCUCUAAAAUCUUUAUCCUUUUCAAAUUUAUUUGUCUAAUCUUUUUAAUUUGAAGUUUUCAGUCUUCUCUAUUAAUGCCAAAUAAAAAAAAAAUAGUAUUGGACUAAGACAUAGUUGUACUAAUGGAUCUCUAAUUCUAAUAAAUCUUGCAUGUUGGCCGAAGUGACAAUAGUCAGAGUUCCCCCUCUGUCUGUCUCUCUGAGUUUCUACUGAGACAUAGCUGUAUUAAUGGGUCUCUGAUCUUAAUAAAUUAAGGAUUCUCAACCCAUAUAUGAUUUUAGUUUUGGGUUUUUCUUUUUUUGAUAGCCAAGGUUAAUUAAUCCUUAAUACCUAUAUUAAUAAAUUUUGUUAUUAAUUUGAGCACAAAAGUCCUAAAUUAUUUUCUAAAUAUGGGGAGAGAUCUUUUUGCAUUGUUUUAAAGGAGCAUGAAAGUUCACUAUUGUAGGCCUAGCCAAAGUUAAUUAAUCCUUAAUACCUAUAUUAAUAAAUUUUGUUAUUAAUUUGAGCACAAAAGUCCUAAAUUAUUUUCUAAAUAUAGGGAGAGAUCUUUUUGCAUUGUUUUAAAGGAGCAUGAAAGUUCACUAUUGUAGGCCUCAUGUUCUGUUAAAUCUUUUUUUUCCAGUUAGAUCAUAAGAUAUCAAUCAAAGAUCGAUUUGAUAAAAGCUAACGUUUAAAAUUGUUUCUCUUCGAGUGUUUUCUAAAUAUGUUGCAAUCUAUUUAUUUACAACUUUACCAUAAUCUUUUGGUAAUUAAAUUAUAAUAAUCUGUGAGGACGAUCUUAUUGAUUGGAUUGCAUGUUUGAGAAUUUAGCUCUUUGUUUGCAAUUUGAAUUGCAUGACUUUAAAUGUAUUCUAUUUUCUUCAAUUCCCAGCUUUGAAUUCAGAAAGCAGUAGCUGCUACAGUUGAAAUCCAAUUGCAUAUCUUAUUUCUACGCCUUUGUUUCAUCUGUGGUUAGGUAAGGCUCAAAUCUUUCAAAUUUGUCUUUGUUUUGGAUUGCAUGUCUACAUAAGGAUUUAACAUUUUGUAGUGUAGUUUCAAUCAUAAAAGAUAAUCAACUAAGGUUUUCUGAAUCAUUAUUAGGGUUGGUUUUUGCAUAAUAGUUCGAAAUGUAACUUUUAUGUGUUUGUUUUGGUUGAUUGUAGAUUACAUAUUGUCAAGUAUUUAAUAAUUGACUUCUUUUCCUAGGGUUCUCAGCCCAUUAUCUGUUGUUUGGAGUUUAAACUUUUUUCAAGCCAUGUUAACAAGGUCUAGAAAUACCAAACUGAAUAGAAUGAUACGAGAAGGCCAUAUCGUUGGUUCUUCCAGUGGUAUACAAGUUUGUGAUAAUCCAGGCUUUGAACCUCAGAACAAAAGACGAAAAGAAGACCAUAUUGUUGGUUCUUCCAGUGGCAUACAAGUUUGUGAUAAACUAGGCUUUGAAUCUGAAAACGAAAGACAAAAAAAUGUUGACAAUGUGUGUUCAACAAGUACAAACACAGUUCAAACCACUGUCAAUGUCGAUACAUUUGAUAAUCCGAAUCAAAUUAGUAAAGGUCAAGCCAAUUUUCAGAAAAAUAAAAAAGGUAAACUAUCUUUUUAACUUACAAUUUCUUUGGGUUGGUUAUGUAUUUAUGACUUUGCUUCUAAUAGGUUGACUUUUUUUUCCCUUCUUUUUUCACCUUUUUUUCAAUAGCAAAUGUUCAGAAAUAUGUGGAUUUGGGAGACAAAAAGUAUAAGUGCAUCUACUGUGGUGCACUUUUUUGGACAAAAGAGUCUUUAAAGCAGAAGUCCAAGAAUAAUGAGCCCCUUUAUUCUCUUUGUUGCCAACAAGGAAAAGUCAAGCUCCCACGUCCAAUGCUUACUCCUCACUUUUUAGAAAAUUUGCUUGACCCAACGAAAGGCCAAACAAGCUUAUUGUUUAGAGAGAACAUUAGAGCUUAUAAUUCAAUGUUUGCAUUUACUUCAAUGGGAGCUAAAGUUGAUCACACGGUUAACAAUCAGUUAGGCCCGUACAUUUUUAAAAUUAGUGGUCAAGUGCAUCAUUUAAUGGGCUCUUUGUUACCCCCUGAUGGUGAAUGCCCAAAGUUUGCUCAACUACAUGUGUAUGAUACUGCUAAUGAAAUUGGAAAUCGUUUCAAUGCUAUUAAUUGUAAGGAAACAAAUAUGAAGCUUGAUGAGAAUAUUGUCAAGGGUCUGAACAACAUGUUCAAUGAAUCAAAUGAAUUGGUUCAAGUGUUUCGAACAAUUAGAGAUAAAUUUGAAAACAAUUCUCUCCCUUCUUUGAAAAUAACUAUAUUGGGUAGGUAGUUAAAUGAUGAUAAACAAUAUGGACAACCUACAUGUGAUGAAAUCGCUGGUUUAAUAGUGGGUGAUAUUGGUCAAUUUGACUCAAAUAGAGAUAUUGUCAUAGAGUUUAAAGAUGGUGAACUAAAACGUGUGACAAAAUUAAAUCCAAAAUUUAUGUCUUAUGGUGAAGAUGGAUACAGCCCUGAUUUGAAAUUGAAUAUUCCCUCAAACAAUCGCCCAUGUAAAAGAGGCAGAGUAACUAUGAGAGCAUUUAUACCCUAUCAAAUUCAAGAAAGGGAGUCUCAAUUAGAUACAUUGUUAAAAGGAGGAAGACUUUUUCAACAAUUUUUGGUAGAUGCUUAUGCAACACUUGAAGAGGAUCGAUUGGAUUAUAUUAGAAAAAACCAAAAAAGCUUACGAAGUGAGGUGUAUAAAGGCAUUUAUGACGCUGUAUCAAAAGGUGAUCAUGAUGCUGAUAACAUAGGCAAGAGAGUAAUAUUACCUAGCUCAUACACAGGAAGCCCAAGAUAUAUGCUUAACAACUAUCAAGAUGCGAUGGCUAUUUGUAGACAAUUUGGUUAUCUUGAUUUGUUCAUAACCUUCACUUGCAAUAUCAAAUGGCCUGAAAUUGUGAGAGAAUUUGAUAUAAAACUUGGAUACAAGUCAGAGGAUAGACCAUAUAUCAUUUCUAGGGUUUUUAAGAUGAAAUUUGAUGAUAUGAUUAGCUACAUAAAAUCAGGAGAAUCAGGAGAACCUUUUGGAGAAGUUGAACCAGGUGAGUUUAAAAAUUAAUUUUUUUCUCAGUUUCUUUCAUUUUAUCUUUACAAUGAAACUGACUAUGGUUUAUAUAUUUCCUAACUUGAUUGCAAACAGAUGUUUGUACAAUCGAGUUUCAGAAAAGAAGGUUGCCUCACGCUCACAUCUUAAUUUGGUUAAAGAAGCCUUACAAAUGCUACUCUGCUGAUGACAUAGAUUCCAUCAUUUCAGCUGAAAUACCAAAUAAAAAUUCAGAUCCUCUCCUAUGAAAUUGUGAACCAAUUCAUGAUUCAUGGUCCUUGCGGACAACUUAAUCAAAAGUCUCCAUGCAUGCGAGAGGGAAAAUAUUCUAAGUUUUUCCCAAAGCAAUACAAAAGUGAAACAAUUUUUGAAACAAAUACUUUUCCUGUGUAUAGGCGUCGUGAUGAUUCGUCAAAAUUUGUGGUUAAAAAUGGGAUGCAAAUAGAUAAUGGUUUUGUUGUACCUUACAAUUCAAAUUUAUUAUUGAGAUACAAUGCUCAUAUAAAUGUUGAGUUAUGUUCUCAAUCAAUGCUUAUAAAAUAUCUUUUCAAAUACAUAAACAAAGGUUCAGAUCGAGCAAGAAUUGUUUUUGAAGAGAAUUCAAACAAUGAAAUACGUGCUUAUCUAAAUUGUAGAUAUAUAUCUCCAUACGAAGCUGUUUGGAGAUUGUUUGAGUAUCCAAUUCAUGAACAAUUUUUGUCAUAUUUUAUCAAUGUAAAUGACACAAUAUUUCUUAACGUUUUUUGCAUGUAAAUAGCCCAAAGUUCCAUAACCUUUUGUAUGUAAGUACUGCUGUUGAUCGAAAAUCACAAAAACUACCCAAGUGGAAUGUGUUGAUCUAAUAUGCUAUGUACAUAGAUAGCCAAAACUUCUACAAUUUUAUGUGGAGUAUCAAUUAAAUAUAGCAAUGAAUUGUAUUAAUCUUUUAUGACACAAUUUUUUAUAUCUUUCAAACAUAAUGCUUUUUACAUUUAUUAAUCCCGUAACAACGUGCGGGCAAUAAUUUCUAGUAACUACUAAUAUUAACAUGUAAAAAGUCCACAAUACCCUUUCCGCCAUCCUCUUAGAUUUGCCGUUGGUUUGCGUAAUUAACACUAAAAUGGGAAGGGCAAACACGUCCCGAAAUAUCAUCAAAUCUCAGCUGGCGGUCCCAAACACUCCACCGUCUCCCUCUGCAACUCUCUGGAGCUCUCUCUCAAAAUUUCGUGUUACAUGGCGUCCUCUUCAAUGGCAGCGAGCGGAGUGCUCACGUCGCGAUCGUCGGUGUUGCCGAACUCGAAGCAGACCCAGAACAUCAGCCGCCUCUCCUUCAGCGGCUCUCAUCUCUCCGGGACCAAAAUCCCUGCCCCGCCCCCAGCACCUGUACGAGGAAAUGCCCCACUCACAGAGGCCCGCCGCUGGUUGUCUCUCCGAAAGCUGUUUCCGAUUCCAAGAACUCCCAGACGUGUCUUGAUCCCGAUGCGAGCCGGGUAAGUGAUUCAUUUCUCUCCCUCUCUAUCGCAUUUCGUGCUUUUGUUUCUAUGCAUUCGCAUAAUGUGUUCUUGUUUAGAUUGAAAUUUUGGGAAUUUUGUUUGUGUUAAUGUGUAGAGUGUGUUGGGGAUUAUCCUGGGUGGGGGAGCUGGGACGAGGCUUUACCCAUUGACCAAGAAGCGUGGGAAGCCUGCUGUUCCAUUGGGAGCAAACUACAGGCUGAUCGAUAUCCCAGUCAGUAAUUGCCUCAACAGAAACGUGUCCAAGAUCUAUGUGCUGACCCAGUUCAAUUCCGCUUCGCACAAUCGCCAUCUUUCUCGUGCUUAUGCCAGUAACAUGGGUGGCUACAAAAAUGAAGGCUUUGUUGAGGUUCUUGCUGCUCAGCAGAGCCCCGAGAAUCCCAAUUGGUUUCAGGUGAUGAAAAGCUUGUUUCAAAUUGUGGGGUUGUGUUGGAAAGCGGGUUUCGAUUGGUUUUUGAGUAUGGAUUUUUGGUUUUCAUUGGUUUUUGAGUUGGGAUAUUUGGUUUUGGUGCUUUACAGGGUACCGCGGAUGCCGUGAGACAGUACUUGUGGUUGUUUGAGGAGCACAAUGUAUUGGAAUUUUUAGUUCUUGCUGGGGAUCACUUGUAUAGGAUGGACUAUGAGAGGUUUAUUCAGGCGCACAGAGAAACUGAUGCAGACAUCACUGUGGCUGCUCUGCCCAUGGAUGAGAAGCGCGCUACCGCCUUUGGUUUGAUGAAGAUUGAUGAAGAGGGAAGGAUUAUUGAGUUUGCUGAGAAACCUAAAGGGGAGCAGCUCAAAGCUAUGAAGGUGAACGAUCCACUUGCAGAUUGUUUUUCAUUAUUUAGUGCAUUACAUAUUCGUUUCAUUGUGAACUUCGAUUGCUUGUGGGUUUAGGUGUGUGAUUGAUUAGUGAUGCAAAAUGUUGUUGUUUCUGUUUUUGUUAUAUAGGUUGAUACUACUAUCCUGGGUCUUGAUGAUGAGAGAGCAAAAGAGAUGCCUUAUAUUGCCAGCAUGGGUAUAUAUGUUGUGAGCAAAAAUGUGAUGUUAGAUCUACUUCGAGACAAGUUUCCUGGUGCAAAUGAUUUCGGGAGUGAAGUUAUUCCAGGCGCAACUUCCAUUGGUUUGAGAGUAAGUUUUUAUUCAUAUAUUUUAUUCUGUAAUUUCUAUGAAAGAUCAAUCAAAAGAGGUGGAAAAGAUUGGAAUAAUUGUUGGUAUUACAUAAUUGCAAAUAUCUUUCAUUCGAAACUGAACAAAUCUCUUUGUACUGAAAAAGAUAGUGUCCUAAAUUGAUUUUAUAUGAUCUGCUAAAUAUUUCCCAGUUCCAUAGUUUCUGUCCCCGCUACCCUUCAUCUGGAUAUUCAUCUCCCAAAAUACUAAUUAUUAAUGCCUACAGGUUCAAGCUUAUUUGUAUGAUGGCUACUGGGAAGAUAUUGGUACCAUUGAGGCUUUCAGCUUUCUACAACGCAAACUUGGGGAUAACAAAAAAACCAGUUCCAGAUUUCAGGUACCUUUUAUUCUAUAACUUGUUUGUAUUCCUGUUUUGUUUGGCCAAUUCAUAUGUUAUGCUAUCAGUUUGAUCUGGAUUUAGUAUUCCGGCCUAAUUUUGAACUUUAUACUGUAACUUUUAUGAUCAUUCAUCCCCAAUUUAGUAUUCCUGUUCGUAUAUUGAUGCGUGAUAUUUUUUUAUUCGGGUUGUUAAAUUCAUGUUAUUGACAAAAAAAUCAUAUGGGAUUUAUUUUGAUUCAAGGGAUAUUUUAAUCUAGAGUAAAGAGCGGGGAGGGGUAUUCGAAGUUGAGUUUGGGUGCAGAAGGGGAGCACGCUGCACUAACGAACUUGCUUACGCCACUGGAUAUGGUCUUUAUUAAAAACAGGUAGAGAGUAUAUGCAUAGAUGUUAUGUGUAUUAUGUGUGUGUAUAGGCAUAAAAUUUUUAGAUCUCAUGUUGAUUUCUAUUAUACUAUGUAUGUGUGUUGAUUGUGGAGAAUGUGAUGUAGCAGUGAUGCGCAUGUUUGGGGAUGGAAUUCUUGUUGAUUUCUUGGCAUAGAGUUUUUACUUCCACUUCAUGGAUUCUGAUAACCAUUACAACAGCAACAACAACGACAACAAUAGCAGGAACAAUGAUUCAGCCACAAUAAAAAUAAAUUCCCAUGCUGAGGUCAGCUUUAAAUUCUUUAGCUGUAUAUAGUAUCAAAGGCAUUUUCUUUUGGUAGCAGUGAUAAUCUUUGGUAACAAAGAUUUCGACUCCACAGAUGGGAUCAACACAGCCCAAAUCAGUGUUUGAGUUUGAGGAUCAGAGCCUAGUUGGGGGCGAGAAGCAUUCAUUGGACGAGGCUCCCCUCAGGGCUCUAUAUUCUGGUGGUGCAAAUGACUGUUGUCCCCAUGUCUUGAAGAAUAGUGUUGUCGAUAGCAUCAGGAUUGUAGUUUUCUCUGCCAAAAUUAAUUUGCUCAUUCCUUUUGGCCCUUUAGCAAUCGUAGCAAUCGUGGUUGAUAAAUUAACCGGCCAUCAUGUGAGUUUUCACUAUCUUUUUCUGUGUGCGAAUCUCUCGGAUCAUCACACGAUUGUAUGCCUAGUUUAUUUGAUUUUUUUAACGCGUUUCAGGGUUAGGUCUUUCUUUUAAGCUUGUUGGGAAUCAUACAUUUGGCGGAGCGAUUAGUCUAUGCCACAGAGUAAGAUUUCUUGCAUUCUCUUUGUAUUCUUUGUUUACAAAAAGAAAUGUUUACAAGUGGAAUCCAACAGCCUUGUUUGAACAACCAUCCAGUUAACUUGAUGUAUUAGAAAACAACAUUUGUUAGUGUUUUAGCAUAUUAGGGUUUAAUCUGCGUGCACAUGAGACGGACAUCCAUAUCAACUUAAUUUGCCAUCGAUAUGCAUUAUUGAGUACCUAAUACAAGCUUGGCUUCUUUUGAUGCAGGCAGCUGGCUUGCUAUACUGGACCAACAGGUAAGCAUGUUGUAAAUGCAAAUAUCCAUUUUUCUAUUUCCAUAGUCUUCAUAAAGCUUCAAGUUUGUGUCACUGAUCAAUGCCAGAUUCCAUAAAUCUUCAUAAAGCUUGUAAGUUUGGUUUGAGCACUCUAAAAUUAUCUUCAUCCAGCCAGUACUUCACCUGCAUCACAUGUUUCCUUUCACAUUUAACCCUAAAUUUUGAAAGCGGUCGCACUAACUUUACAAUUAAUAUUCAUUUGUUGAUCCAAAAAUGUUAUCCAUAACUCCAAUUAUGAGUUAAUUCUGCAGUUGGAGGUGUUUUGAAUGCCACCUUUGGAAACGCAACAGAAUUGAUAAUAUCAAUUUACGCUCUGAAAAGAGGCAUGAUUCGUGUUGUUCAACAAUCCUUAGGCUCAAUCUUAUCGAACGUGUUGCUCGUGCUUGGAUGCGCAUUCUUUGCUGGUGGACUUGUGCAUUCACAGAGGGAGCAAGUGUUCAACAAGGUACAUUUCAUCUGUGAAAAAGAGCGCUUUGUUUAUUUGGUUUUAUUUUCUGUAUUUGAUCUUCCUCGUCUCUCUCUUCACCAACCCCUCUCUCUCCUCUCUCUGUCAAACCAGUUUCUCAUCAAUCUCCAUCCAUGUCAAUAGGCCAUAUCCAAAGGCACCGAGAAUCCCAAAGAUCCCAAGAGGUUAAGUUGUAAGCUCCAAAUAUCCAAUCCCUUUUCAUUCUCAUUAGCAUUAGAUUUCAAGAUCCACAAUUGAAAAAAAAAAAAAUCAAUGUGAAACUUUUUACCUAACCUAUUCAAUGAUUGCUAACCCAACAAUUUUACAUAUUUGUUGGUGUAGCACAUGAAAAUGGAGGUGGCAAGAAAUAUUUGAUGAUUAAAUUGCUACCGAUCAAACCUUAAACAUUACACAUCUCUUUCUCAUCCUCAAUCCGCAUGCUUAUUCAAUCCGCGAUAUUAUUAUAUUUUUUUCCGAUCAUCAACUCCUAUCGGAAGUAUACAUCAGUUUUGGUGAACAAAUUUCGCGACUCUAGCAUUAUUGUUUCGAGAAAGCAUCUACAUUUGCAAAGAUGCAGUCUUUGAGUCGAUCAAUACGAGGUCAAUCAUUACAUGAGCCUCCACCAUUUGCAGAGAAGAUCACAGAAGACCCUGUGACAACGAAAACCGCACAAAGCACGGUGACUUGCGUCUACCUUGCAAAUAUUGCGACAUGUUGGCGGAAGGUGACGAUCAUAUGGUGUAAGAACCUCAUGAACCAUUCCCUCAGCAUUCGGAUUGAUAGCUUAGACGGCGGUUUUCAUUAUACGUGCAAAAUCGACCUAAAGCCAUGGAAUUUUUGGAGCAAAAAAGGGUAUAAGUCAUUCGAGGUCGAAGGGAAUCAAGGGGAGGUUUGUUGGGAUCUUCAUUCUGCAAAAUUUGGCGGCGGCCCAGAACCUUGUUCUAACUUUUAUGUUGCUCUUGUUUGCGAUGAGGAGAUUGUGUUGUUAUUGGGAGACAUGAAGAAAAAGGCAUACAAGAGAACAAAAUCCAGACCAGCCCUUGUGGAGGCACUUUUAUACCACAAAAAAGAAAACGUGUUUGCCAAGAAAAGUUUUGCCACAAGAGUGAAGUUUGAUGAGAAUAUAAAAGAGCAUGACAUUGUCGUGGAGAGCUCAACAUCGGGCUCCAUAGACCCCGAAAUGUGGAUCAGCAUAGAUGGGUUUGUGUUGAUUCAUGUCAAGAAUCUGCAGUGGAAAUUCAGAGGGAAUCAGACCGUAAUGGUGAACAUGCAACCGGUUCAAGUUUUCUGGGACGUGCACGAUUGGCUUUUCAGCAGCCCCGGGACUGGGCACGGGCUGUUUAUUUUCAAGCCAGGGCCGCCGGAAUCAGAGAGCGAUCACGACAGAGAUGGCAACGGCGGCAUAGACAGUGAUCAUAGCAGUCCUUAUUAUUCAACUCAGACUAGUAACUCAACAUCUUCUGACUUCUGCCUGUUUCUUCAUGCAUAUAAGAUUGAGUGAGGGAAACUAACUCAUAGAAAAAGGAAAAAAAAAACAGAAAAUGGUUGUAAAAUUGUAAAUUAUGGUCGUAGCAUUACUUCAUAUAUAAGGUUACUCUAAUAUUCAUUUGAUAAUUUGUAAAUUGAACUUUUUUAACUGUUGGUGUCACCCGUUUAGUGCUGUUAUAGGAUAGUGGGUAGCCUUUGGUAGGGAAGGUAUUUGGAGGAUGAUGAAUGGUGGGAGGCAUAUAUAAUAAUGUAAAAUUGUAUUCGUAUUAUAUAUGCAGGAAAUUAAGAAAAUUAAGGUCUAGAAAUGCUAUUCCAUGAUCUACUUAUUCUUGCAAUUUUUCAAGUGGAUUUAUUAUUAAAUUCUUGCCAUUUUUAUUUUCUGUGUGUGGAAAAUUAAAGGGGUGUUGGUGUAAUGUGGAUAUGGCUAGGGUUUAAGGACCGAUAUUACUGUUAAUUUUCAGGAUAAGAAAGUGAAAAGAAAAUGCUUUGAAUUAAUAUUCAAGUAUCAAACGUUACGACACUGAACUAUGUUCCAGAGUUUAAUUGUAGCCAAAACCAUGAAAAAUGGGUGGAUGAAUUGAUUCAUUUUACACUUGUUUCGAUAGAUUAAUCCAAGGCAAAUCAUGCAAAAUUACUUUUGAUUUUCUUAUUCACUGGUGUUAAAUUGGUUGAAGUGGAAAAAGUUCAAGAAGAUCAAUGGUCAAGAGAUUCUAGCAAAUUAGGGUUACAUAUAUGAAAUUUUAGCAAAAACUUCAUCCAAAUUUUGAAACCACCUGGGAUUCAGACUAGCUAAGCUGCUUCCAAUUUCAACAAAACCUCAUCUGUCUUAACUUUUAAGAGAUGUAUGUCAAAACAUCGAGAAAAACUUGUGUAGGGCUUGACUUGCCAUUGGAUUUUACUAAGUGGCACUACAAUCCAAUCAAAAUUCACCACAUGGUAAGUCUAAGUAUAAUCUUUUAUUUUUUAUAUUUAAAGCUCUUAUAAUUUUUUUCUUACUAAUUAAUAUACACCACGAGAAUAAUUUAGUGAUUUUUUUUUCCUCUUCUCCUCUCCCUCUUUUUUCUUCCCAAAUUUUCUCUACUGUCUUCUUCCCCACUCUUUGUCUUUCCUGUCUUCAUAUGAAUAUGGAAAAAAACAAUUAAGUCAUCUUCUCCCACUAUCAUGAAAUGGAAAAAAAAUAUCCAACACAUAUUUCAUAUUUUACACAAAAGCUGUAUUUUUACAAGAGUUGUUCGUUCAUUUAAAAUUUAAUUAUAUACUUUUAACAAUAUUAUAAAUAAUAAUGAACAUUUUGAUAUUUUAAACACAAAACUUACUAAAGUGAUUAAGAUUGCAAAUGUUGGAAACCCAGUGACCAAAACCGACUGUUGAUGAUACAAGGUGAGUUAGAAUCACAUACCUGAAGAAAACUAUAUUUUUAUAUAUACAUUCAGGUCGGUGAAAAGUAAAAAAGGAAAAAUAGAUUUUGAAAAAUAUUACACAACAAAGGAAAAAGGAACAAACUUCCAUCUCCAUUUUCCUUUUCCCAGCAAUUGAAAGGACUUGGGAAGAAAAUUUUAAUGGCUUAAUUUUUUUUUAUCAUAUUCUUAUGAAGAAAGGAAAGGAAGACACGAGUGGGAAAAAAAACAUUAGAUUAAUCUCAUGGUGUGUAUUAAUUAAUAGAAAAAAUAAUUAUGAGAGCUUUAAAUAUAAAAAAGUAAUAAAAGUUUUAUAUUGUAGAAUUGUCAUGCGGUGAGUUUUGAUUGGAUUGUAGUGUCACUUAGCAAAAUCCAGUGACAAUAUAAGUCUCACACAAGUUUUUCUCCAAAACAUCAGCCAUUAUAUUAAAUUUGAAUAUUUCCUAAUCUGACUUAUUUUCAUUUUAUCAAUAAAUAAUAUGUGAAGUUUGUAUGUUGCAUUGAAAAAGUGUACAAUAUAUACUUUCACAUUUUGGGAAAAAAGGCAUAAUUUAACUACUCAUUGAGAUUGUAUGAAAAAAUAAAAAAUAUGCAUGUAUGAUCGUAAAACGCGUAUUGAACCGCACUAUACUUUCAUAUCUCAUCACUGCACCACCGCGAAGUACUCUUUGUUGGCUCUGAUGGACAGAGGAAGCUAGGUUGGCCGAAAUAUAUUUAUCAGGUCAAACGUGAUGUGCCAUUAAUUUUUUAGAAUAAGAAAAGAUAGAGAAAUUUUCUCAAGCCAAUAUUCAAGUAUCAAGCAUAUAUCAUGCGGCGUGCCAUUAAUUCUAAGGAAAACUAAUGAAAAGGGCUUGAAAACUUUGAGUUUUAAUGAUAAGGACAAAAUAAAGGGUAAAGUGAAUAGUACCAGGAUUGACUUUUUAGUGUAAAAAUGUGGUUUUUCGUUAAAGUGAACAGUACCGGGAGCUUUUCGUUAAAGUUCCCUUAAUUCUACAGUUGAUUUGUUAGAGAAAUUGGUCUAUUCUACUCAUUUGUCACCUAAAACAAGAUUCGAAUCGUACUGUACUUUCUAAAAUUGAAAAGUCGUCACUUAACUCCUUAAAAGUUGAAUUCUAUCUCAAUUGGUCUUCUUUCGUCUACUCUAUCUACAAUCUAAUUAAGUUACUUCUGUGACUUUCAAGGAUUAAGUGACAAAUUUUUAGUUUUGAAUGGGAAAUGAAUAAUCAAAGCAAGCCAUAAACCUUACCCCAUAAAGAAGAAAAAAUAAAUGCCAUUGAUUUAGCUACUUAGUACUACGAUCUUAUGGUAUUCAUUUUCACUUGGAAGUGAGAGUUCUUAAGUUUGAAUAUCAUGAUGGCGAAUUCGAUACCAAAUUAAGCUGCCCAUUGUGUUGCUUAGCCAAACACCUCAUCCGCUUAUUUAAACUACACAAAAAUAAUAAUAAUAAUAAUAAUAAAUAAUAAAAUAAAAAAAAAAAAAAAAAAAAGCGGCACUCGAUCUCCUAGAAAUUGCAAGUGCGCGCACCUCCGGACAUUGGUUAGAAGAUAGAGCAGAAAGAAAAUGAAGGUUGGUUCGAAGGUAGUGUUUCUGCUGAGAGACUCAGAGGGCUUCGGCGAAGCCAUCUCAGCUGCUUUCCGCCCAAAUCCAAGCAAUUCUACUGUGUAAGAUCUCUUCCUAAUAACCCUUUUAAGGUUCGCCAAAAAAAAAAAAAUAACCCUUUUAAGUUUGAGAUCAAAUUCAUAUUAUAUCGAUUGAUUUCGGUGCGCCAAUUUGUUGCAGAGAAGAAAGUUUCGAGCUUUCAUUGGAGCGCUAUGGAAUCCAAAAUUGCAAAGCUUCUGGAACCCUUCGCCACUUCCUCGAUCCCCAGGGCCAAUAUGAGGUUCCCCUUCUCUCUCUUCCUCUCUCUCUCUCAUGGAAUUGUUUAGGACCCAGAAGCGGGAUUGUAUUCGUAUAGAUUCUGUCUCGUAUAGAUUAGAUUCUAUGUGGGAUUUGGGUGUUGAGAAAUGGGUCGUGUAUUUUGUAAUGAAAUGUGUACUAGUUUUUAUGGUGAAAGUGAAAUUUGUGACAAUUUGGGGUUUAGAUUGUGUGUGAUUGAAAUUGAAAACGAUGCUGGUUUUUCAAAACCAUGUGGGGUUUAAAAUCGACUCGGUGUUAUGGAAUUGUGAGUGAUCUGUGAGGUCUAAAGGGACCUGGUUGCAGGCGUUUUUCGAAGAAUGCUUGUAGAUUUGGUUUCUAUGCCCAUAGUGGUAGAAACCCAUUAAAUUACUUUGUAAAAGUUUUGUUCCUUUGUGUUUCAGAACUCAUGCUGUGACGAUAACAGUGGAAGGUUCCACAUUAUUUUUUUAUGCAGUUUUCUGUUUUUCAUAAAGUUUAUCCAUCUACACUGCUCUGAAAUGCUUUAGUUGUUAGGAUGUGAGCCAACAGCUUUGAUUUGUGUUGAGUUUGUCGGUUUAUUACUAUUUCCAACAGCUUGAGUUACUAGGACAGAGUGAAUAACUAUUUUAUUUAUCUUCUAACAUAUCUUGAAGAUAACAGAUUAGGGGAACUUUAAAAAAAUUUCUCUUCAAUUUUGUCUUUUUCAGGUGUCUGUGCUGCUUAUGGAAUACCAUGAACCGCCAAUACUAGCCUGCGCUAUUAGUGAAGUUCUAGCACAAUUAGCAGGGCAGAAUUCAUCCUCAGUUCCCACAGUCGUUGCCCCGUUUUUCCUAGAGUCAUCCAAGCUAAAGGGGGAAAGUAAAUCUGCAACAAAAUUUGAAAGCAAAUGUUCACUUUAUGGUAUAGAGAUUGGUUCAGAAACAGCCAUAAGCAAGGCUAUGGCAACCAAAACCCAGAAGCCACAGCCAUCCUUGCAGAUUCAUCAUGAACCUUUGGCUUGCUUUCUUCAGUUGGUCCGUGUUUUGAAGUUGCCAGUAUAUGUUCUUAUUGGGCAAAGAGGUCAACACGUUUAUGAUAAAGAAGAGUUUCAGGUAUACAGUCUUUUUUAUUACUUUAUCUAAUGCAACUGUCAACAUUCAGUUUACCUAGAAUUUUUGUGACAUAUGAUUGAAUUCGAGUUGGGUUUGGAGGCCAUGUGAUUUGUAUUUCUACGAUUUGCUUGAGAGAUGAGUGGGAAAAAUAGUGUAUGCUCAGUUUCUCCAUGUUCCACUGCUGAAAAUAAGUCGUUUAGCCUUGUUUCUUUCUCUUCCUUAUAGUUCUCUAUGAAUCUGUCUGUUUCCCGAGUGUUCGUAUAUUGUCUAACUCUAGGUGGAUUCUUUUUCAGAUACUUUAUGAGAUUGGAGAACUUUUAGCAAGCACUUUGAACCUUUCCUUUUCAAGAGACAAGAUCACAUGGAAUCCAACAAGAAAAUCAAAAGACGAUCGGGAGCCAUGGCGUGCGUUAUAUGGUUAAACCUCUACUGUCUGACAUUAGAGGUUGGGACAAGAUCUAUCGUCGGGUGCAUCAGGUUG